Molecule: long non-coding RNA, 52701 nt
Filed under: Citrus maxima (pomelo)
Lineage: Eukaryota; Viridiplantae; Streptophyta; Magnoliopsida; Sapindales; Rutaceae
Description: long non-coding RNA (CMAX_LNC003698)
Source: RNAcentral
AGACAAAUCGAGUCCCUUAUUUUAUUAUUCAUAUCCAUAAAAAGUAACCACUACGCUAGUCCCCCGAACUUAGCAUAAGACGGUAAUUUAAAAAAAGAAAAAAAAAAGAACGUUUCUAGACACCAAAACAAAAGCAAAACAAGCACAAAGCGAGACAUACAAACAAAUUUUAUGCUACUGCAUUCAUGCAGAAGCCAUCAACUGUUCACGACGAAGUUUGACAGCAACCGAUAGUUCAUCCUGAUUAGGAAGAUUUUCUUCAAUCACAGGGACUUGCUUGAAAGUUUCAAGCCAGGCAUGCAAGCGAGGGAAUUUGUGUGAUUCAAAUAGUUUAGCUCCCACUGCAUCUUCAAUGACUUGCAACCAAUAAACAAUUGAACCAAACGCUAGGUCCACUAAGCCAAUAUUGUCUCCAUUGAAAAAUUUCUUCUCUCCCAAGCCAUGCUCUUCAAUGGUUUGUAGCAUUUCCAAGGCUUCCUUCAUUGUGUUUUGUAGUUCUUGUCCAGUGCUUCGAAACAUUUUCCAAACAGCAACACCCUGCCACAAAUAUUUUACAUCUGAUUUUAUCACCGACAUGAUUAAUUAAUAAUAUGCAUAUAAAAGUGAAAUAUCGUUAGACAAUAUGCACACGUGUCACAAGAACCUUUAAUUAGAGGUUUAAUAAGUUAAUUAAGAGAGUUCAACCACUGAGUUGUAAAAUCUGUCAUUAGCUAGUAAAUUCACUUUUUCCCAAUGUUUCAAAAGUCAUCAAAAUUCACCGUCAAGUUAAAAACGGUUAUGUUAACUUUAACUUAUUACAUCUUUUCAUAUUUAAUGAUAAAACAGUGAAGGCACCAGAAAUUGAAAGUUUAGAGAACUUUUUACAAAUAAAUAUGAAGGAGACCCCUGGGUGGCUGGGCUCGACUGGCUAUGAAUUCACUUCCGCCAUCACCCGAGUUCGAGUAUAUAUGGAGAGUAAGAUUUAGUGUUUGGUGGGUGGGUUUCAUUAUCCUCGUCACCUAAUCUAGAUCUUAAAAUAAAAAAAUAAAAAAAUAAAAAAAUAAAUUUGAAAAGAAUGAACUUAAUUACAAACGUGUUUGCUAGUGUUGUGAGCAAACCUUGUCUUCGGCGAAUUUAAUCCAGAAUCGAGCAAGAGCUCUAUCAUAAGGAUUGUUUGGCAUCAAGGGAUUCUGUGGCCACGUCUCUUCGAUGUAUUCGAGAAUAACCAUGGACUCACAAACUGGUUUUCCGCCAUGGACAAGCACUGGGAUCUUCUUGUGAACUGGAUUGUACUUCAAAAGCGAAGCACUUUUGUUUGAGAGAUCUUCUGCAACAAAUUCAUAUGGCACGCCUUUCAAUUUCAGAGCCCAAAUCACCCUGUAAACAAAUGGACUCGGCAGUACUGCCCCAUGAAGCUUCACUUCAGCCAUGAUAAUUCUUAGAUUGAAUUUGAAUAUCAGGUUUUUUGGUCGAUCCUGAGUAUAGCUGAUAACUCAUUACACAUGUUUCUGAAUUUAUAGUGAUUUAUGGAAUGCGCUUUCUUGAGCAGAAAGCUUCGAUUUCCCACUAAUAAAACGAUUAAUUAAUGAUGAAUUCAAAGAACUAGUACGAUGACUUUAAUUAAAUAUUUUUUUACGUUGUGUGCGAGUUAUGUCGGCAUUUCGAGGUUAAUUUAAAAGAUAUUAUUUUCUUCUGAUCUAAAUUUUUAUAUAAAAAUAUAGUUAUUAAAUAGAAAUAAAAUAUAAAAUAAAUAUUGACUGUAUAUAAAUAAAAAAUUCAUACAUGUUAAAAAGAUUUUUUAAAACUCAAAUAAAUGGAUCCAAUUCCUAAUUUUAAAGGCUAGCCAAUGAGAUCAUUGAUUUGGUCAACCAGUCAGAGACAACCAUUCAAUAAUUAGUCAAAAUUUUGCCAUUUAUUUUACAUUUAAGACUUUUGCGUCAUGCAUGAUGAUCAAUUGAUCAUGGAUCAAUUAGUCAACAAGACAUUUGCCUUUUGUGAAUGUGUUCACAUUGGACGCAAAUAUAAUUUGUUAUAAAAAAAUUGGACUAAAUUACAAUUUUUUUUUAAUAAUACACCUGAUCCUAGAGGACCUGUUAUUUAGUUCGUGAAUCUUAUAACAGGAUCCAUGAUUAUUAUUUUUUAAAUCUUAUGGGUCCCCUAUUAUUUAAGGGAAAUUUAUGAAAAUAAUCAUGAAUAUUUUGUUAUUUUCACAACUAACCCUCUCAACUUUUUUCUAUCAACAUUAGCCAAACACAAGUCUUUCUUCCCAAAUUACCCUUCUUUACAGACCAAAAGCAACAAUCUUUCUCCCAUAUCGUCAAACCAAACGCAGCUUAAUCAUCAACCAACGGCGACGGCAAAAGACAACGGUAAAAGUGAAAUCCGAUCAUAAUCUAUCCGAAUCCAACACUAAUCGGCAUCACUUAAUAGUAUGAGUUAUUUUCUGAACUUGCUGAACUGAGUCGUGGGUGAAUCUGGCGACAGGCAACCUGUCGCACCAAGAGUUGGUGCGACAGGCACCUGUCGCACCUUGCUUGGUGCAACAGGCACCAAUUAAAAAAAAAAACAAACUUGAGAAUUAUGUAUGACGUGAGCCCAUAGCCAGUUGAACCCAAUUUUCACUUUCCAAUAUUAUAUGUGUUGAACGAACUUUAUGUGUAAGAGGCCCCACGCGAUUUCAUGUUAGUCUCAGAGGGUUUAUAGUUAUAUACCAUGGCUUCUUUAUCAAUCAACACAUGCAUGUAAAGAGAGAUUUGAAAAAACAAGAGUCAGUUUGAUAGAGAGUCUAGUGUUUCUUAAAAAUUAGCAAAACAAAUGUCAGUUGAUAGCCAAUGCAACAAAGAAGCCGUAAUUUUUGGAAACCGCGUAAUCAUUUUUUUUGUAAUAUUUGUUCGAUUUACAUUUUCAAAGUAACUAAACCCUCUGAGUUCAAGCUCACGCCAUUCUUGAACCAUCGCACAACAGCAACACAUGAGAUGAGUUAAGAAGUCAUCGCACGAACCGCCCUGCAAAAUAGAUUUAAGUCGAGAGGUUCUUUCAUUUUUAAUCAUCAUAAUCGAGGCCUCAGAAUUCACCUAAAAUGGGGAAGAAGGCACCUGAAUGUUGAAAGUUUCUCGCAAUUUUGUCCUUAUGCAACAGCUAUAACAGCAACAUCCGCAGAAGAUAAAAUAUGCCAUGAGAGUAUUGAUUGCUUGCUCACGAGCUGUAGCAACAAUUGAACAGGCAGCUUCAUCAGAAUCUUGUUGGAUUUACACUACUACAUUGACAAUUGCAUAAUGAUACUCUAUCCGCUUACAUAUUUUCCCUUCUGUCACUGCAUUAGCUAUCUUUGAAAAUGUUCCACAGGGAUAUAUGCAAGUCUUCAAGCCUGACUCUUGUUUUUUCUGACAUUUGCAGAGGGUAUUACAGGUACUCCAAAAAAUUGGUGCGACAGGCGCGCGCCUGUCGCCCCAAAGCUGGUGCGACAGCGGGGCGCGCAUGGGCGCGCGCUGCUGUCCAGCGAUGGGCGCGCGCGCGCGCCCUGCCCCCCUCCCUCCCCACCCCCAAAAUUAAGCCACAACACUCCAAAAUCGAAAAACAAUACUCCCAAACACCACCAACCACCACAAACAUCACCACCACCACCAUUAUUCUCAAGGUAUAACUAUUAUUAUUCUAAAAUCUCAUUUUAAAUUAAUGAAAAUAAAAAAAAUAACUAACCUAGGUUUUGUUGAAGGUUGUAGAUCGUAGAUCGGAUGCCGGUGAGAGAUGGAGCCGCCGCCGACGAGGGUUGAUGUCGCCGCCGAUGAUGGGAGUUGGAUCGGUUUGGGAGAGAUGAGUGAAAGGGAGUGUUGGGGGAGAGAUGAGGGAGGGGUAUUUUGGUCUCAAAAGUUAUUUUAUGGCUAAUGUUGAUAGAAAUAUUUUUGGGGGGUUAAGAUGAAAAAAAGCAAAAAAUUUUUGGUUAUUACUGUAAAUUUCCCAUUAUUUAAUUUGUGGAAUUGACGGAGGUAACUUGCAGUUUCAUUUUUGUAAUUUACAGCUUUCAAUAAAUUCAGAUAAUAUUAGGCAGUAAAAGUCGGCCAGGUUGGAGGAGUAGAUCUAUAAAAUUUGCUAGCACUUUGCACUAUCUGUUUGGGCCUUGGGGCCCAGAAACACACAUAUAUAUCAUCCACUUUUUAUUUAACGCUGGGUUUUUAUUACCCAUAAUAGUUUCUCUUUGUACAUCCACUUUUUAAUAAAAAAAUUUAUUGUCAAGAUAACUUUUUAUUAAUUACUUCACUAAUCCUUCUUUUUUUUUUGGCCAAUUUCUCUUUCGCAUCCGACAAAAUUUAAUUCACAUCAUGUGCUGGUAUGAUUGUAAAUAAAUUUGAAGUUAUCUCUCACAAGUUGUUCAAAAAUACAUAGACAUAUCAUGUGUAUAGAACUAAAGAACAAUAGCAACCCACUAUCCUCUAGGCGAUCGCUGCUAUUAGGACGGCAAAAUUUGCCGUCAAUAUGUAAAUUUUGUAGAUUGCAGGUAAAUUUGGUAUUUUAAAUUUAAGUUCAUUGCAGGUUACAAAUGGAUUCAGUAUUGAGAAAAAAAUCUGGCGGGUGUUUGCCGACCCACAUUUUUUUUAAUUAUUUGUGUUUUUAAUUUUAAUCACAAAGAUUGUCUUAAAAAAAUUUAAUCAUAAAAAUAUAAUAGUUAAAGUUAUUACUCUAAUCUUUCAAAUUCCUAAACCUAACCUAACUCAUUACAGUUACACACCCUACUCCUUCAAGUAUGUAUGAAUGUAAAUGUAUAGCUGUAUACACACGCACACACACAAAAAAUAAGCUUUUAAUAAGUAGAUUUAGUAUUUUUCAAGUUUAAUAUUAAUGAUAUUUUAAUUUAAUUUAAUUACUUUUGUUUGUUUCGCUUUAAUGACUUGAACUUAGUGAUUGCUGGCUAAGAUUGAAUUUUUAUUUGUCUAAUUAAUGGUCAAUAGUUGUCCAAAAUAUAUUUGUUAAUAUUGUUAACAAUACUUGUAUAUUAACUAAAAGAUAGAGCAAGGCAUUAAUCUUAGUAAUGAUUAUUUGCCUACAACAAAAUUAUUUUGUGUUAGAAUGAUAUAUUUUUUGUAUUUGUUUUAAUAUUGAAACUUUAAUUUCUCUUUUACAUUGAUAAAAUCUAAAAUUGAGUAAUUUAUGUAGAUUUUUUAGGUUGCUACUAUAAAAUUAUAUUUUGAAUUAUGUAAUUCAAAUUAUUAGAUAUAAUUUUUUUUAAUAUUUGUGAUUUUAAAUAUAAAUAUCUACAAAAAAAAAACCGCCUGCGUGUUGUGGAUGGAUUUACUAAUUAUUAAAAAUUAUAGCGAACGAACUUAAAAAAAAAAAAAAAAAAAGGCAACUGGUUACUGGCCAGUUUAAUAAUGACAAACCCAUAAUAAGCGAUACUCAUUACCAUCAGCAGCUUCUAUUACGGAGGGCCGGGGGCGGUCUUGAAUUGUUAGAAGUUGCAACAUUAAUUAGCAAAAUUUUCAGCGGCAUCCCUGAAGUAUAGCAUAGAAUUAGAUAUAUCCCCUUGUUUUCAAAAAGUUAGUCUCUGAUACCCAUGUUGUUUACUUAAUUUUUUUUUUCCAUUUCAAUUGGAUAUACAACUUCGUAAUGUUGCGCCUUGUAAAAUGUAUGCUUAAAAUGCGUGCUUCUUAUUUUUUAUAUACUGCUAAGAGAAGUUGAGAAUAGAAAUAUAUAAAAUGGAGUCUCAUUUAUUAAUUAUUUAUAUCCACUAAAUAGCUCUUUGAAGCUCACUUCAAUAGUAAAAUUAAUUAAACAAAAUAGAAAGAAUAUUUUUAACACCAGUACAAAAACAUAACAAGUGUAAAAGAAGACUCACAAACUUAUUUUAUGAUAUUACAUUCACACAAGUACCACCAAUGUUUUCCGACCACGUUCGAAAGAGAUCACCAGCUCACGCUGAUUUGGAAGAUUUUCUUUAAGUAUAUAAGUUAAAGUUAUUACUCUAGUCUUCAAAAUUCUUAAACCUAAUCUAACUCAUUACAGCUGCAUGCCUUACUCCUAGUAUAUGCAUGCCUUGCUCCUUCUAGUAUCCGUAUGUAUUUUAAGAUGGAUACAUUAACUUUUUAAUAAGUAAAAUUUUGUACUUUUCAAGCUUAAUAUGAAUGAUAUUUUAUUUUAAUUUAAUUACUUUGAAAUAUUUUGCUUUAAUGACUUGAACAUAUAGAUUGUUUGCUAAAGUUAAAUUUUUCUUUGUCUAAUUAAUUGGUGAUAAGAGUUGUAUAAAAUUUACUUAAAAUUAUGAUAAGAGCUUAUGAGAUUAAAUAAGUACUUAUAACCAUUAAAUAAAUCUUACCAAACAAACACUUAGUAAUAACAAAUCUGCAGCAGCCAAUACCCAUUACCAUCCCCAGCUGCUAUAAUGCAAGGACACGGGCGGUCUUAAUUGUUAGAAGGUGCAAAAUUAAUUAGCAAAAUGUUCAGCGGCAUCCUUGAAUUUUAGCAUAGAAUUAUAUAUAUCCCCUAGUUUUCAAAAUUAAUUUUUGAUUUCCCUGUAUAUAUAUAUAUAUAUAUAUAUAUAUAUUUCAAUUGGAUAUAUAACUUUGUAAUGUUGCGCCUUAUAAAAAUGAAUGCUUAAAAUGCAUGCUUAUUACUUUUUAUAUGAUGUUAAGAGAAACUGAGAAUAGAAAUAUGUAAAAUGGAGUUUCAUUUAUUAAUUAUUUAUAUUCAUUAAAUAGCACCCAACAUGGAGUUUGUCUCAAUAGUAAAAUUAAUUAAACAAAGUAGAAGGAUCUGUUUUAGCAACAGUACAAAAAUAAAACAAGCACAAAGUGAGAAUCACAAACUUAUUUUAUGAUAUUACAUUCACGCAGAUGUCACCAAUGUUUCCCGACGACGUUUGAAAGCGAUCACCAUCUCAUGCUGAUUUGGAAGAUUUUCUUUAAUUACAGGGAAUUUCCUGAAAUUUUCAACCACUCAUGCAAGCUUGGGAAUUUGUGAGAUUCAAAUAGUUUCACUCCCAUUACAAUUUGUGAGAUUCAGAUAGGGUCCCACCUAACCCCACUUUUUUGGUGGUUAAAAAAAAAAUCAGGGAUCAAACCUAGGUCAUCAAGGUGAAACAUCAAAUAGGUUGUAAAUUUAACAUAUGAAUGUAAAAGCUUAACAAAACAUUUGAUGAAGUUGCUUCACAACAUAGAAAUACAAGCAAAAAGAGAUGCUAAACAACACAAAAAUUUGAUUGGGGGGGAGUAUUGUUCAUGCUAGCAUAAUAAUGAGGUGCCUGAGAAUACCUAAGACUUUCUUGAUAAAUAAUAUCAUCUAAAAGGUUAGGAAUCACAUAUGAUUGUCCACGUAUGAACAAAUAGGGAUGGCAAAAGUCCUAGUUGGGUUCGGGUUUGGGGUUGCCCGGGACCGACCCGCAUGAUACACAUAGCUGUCUGGACCCGGACCGUGCCCAGAUUUUUCAUAUGCGGGCCGGAUUAAGCCCGACACUAUCCGAGCACGGAUUUUUUUAUCCGGGUUUCCUCUGCCCAUAUAAAUUGAAUUAAAAGGGAAGAAAUCCUGUAAUAAAUUAUUACAACAUCUUAAUUAUUUCAAUCUACUUUGUAAAUUUGAAGUAAAUAAAAUUCAUUCAAUCUCUUCCUAAAUUCAUUCAUUUCAAUCUCCAUCAAAAACUUAAAUUAAGUAGCAUAAUAAUUACAAUUGACAAAUAAAAUACCAACUAUCAAUAUAAUAUAUGAAAAUUUUAAAAUAUCAAACAACAAAGAACAAACUAACAAGACGGUUGCUGCACAAACAUGGCUAUGAUGUGGAGGUGUUGUGCACGGUGGGUCACGGACCAAAUCUAAGAAGUGGGAAAAGAGAGAGAGAAAAAAGAAGAAACAAGAAUAAGAAUAAGAAAAUAUUUCUAUUAAUUUAUUCUUGGAUUGAGAUUUAAGGUUUCUUUGUGCGUUUGAAAAGGAGGGGUGAGGGUUGUUGCUGCUGGGCGUUGGCUACUUGGCUUGGAGAGUUGAAGAUGAGGGAGUUGACUUGGAGUGUUGAAGGGGAGGGAGCGGCGGCUUUGGGAGUGUAAGUUUAUGAGAGUUUUAGGGUUUGUAAAUGUAAUGUGAUAUAUAUAUUUUUAUUUUAUUUUUUAAAAUUAAAAAAUUUUAACCGGGCGUUGAUCCGGGUUCUGGGUUUUUGGGGUUCUGCCCGGAUCCGUGCCCGGAAUUAUCCGGGUAUUAAUUUCCAAAACCCGGAACCGGUUUCUUUUUUAAUACGGGCCGGGUAAAACCCAGACCGUAUGAGCUGGGUCCGGUCCGGAUCCAGACCGGGCGGAUUUUUUUGCCACCUCUAUGAACAAACCUUGCUCAAAAUGUGAAAUGUGUUAAGAUUUUCAAACAUUUAAAUUAAUAAUUAAUAAUUUCAGACAAAGGAUACUUAGAGACCCUAAAGUUCACUAAUUUUAUGUUAUGACUCAUUGUCUCUCUCAACAAUUUAAUUUCUAGAUUAUUUGGCUCCUAUCUAUUAAAAGACAACACCGUUACUAAAAUUAUAAAUUAUAACAGUUAAACCUAAACCUACAUCGUUUAGCAAUUUACAAAAGAAAAAAUAUAUAACAAAAGCCAAUUGUUGGAGUAGCAACGUGCCAACGAGAAAACCUCAAGCCAUGUAAUAUCCUGUGUCAACAACUAAAGAAGAACAAACCACCACCCUCUAGGUCGUCGCUGCACUAACGCUGGACCCGAUUUGAAUAGUUAGAAGUUGUAACAUUAAUUAGAGAUUGAGGGUAAAAUUUUGGACUUUGAUUUAAUAAAAUUGAUUUAAAUGAGUCCCAAUAGAAAUAUGAUUAUAAAUAUAUCAAUACAAUUAUAACAUGUUAAAAGAAAAAAAGUUUAGUUUCACACAAAACAAAAAACACAACCCUUGGAUGUGGGAUGUGUCUAAAAAAUAAUAGGGUGGAAAUAUUAUCACCCUCAAAUUAGAUAUAUAAAUGUUUAAUGUUUUACUCUUAUAAUUUGUAUUUAUUUUUUUGAAUAUUGUUAAGAGAAAGAUAGAAAUUAAUAUAUAGACAAAUCGAGUCCUUUUUUUAUUAUUCAUAUCCAUAAAAAGUAACCACUAUGCUAGUCCCACGAACUUAGCAUAAGACGGUAAUUUAGAAAAAAGAAAAAAAAAAGGAACGUUUUUAGACACCAAAACAAAAGCAAAACAAGCACAAAGCGAGACAUACAAACAAAUUUUAUGCUACUGCAUUCAAGCAGAAGCCAUCAACUGUUCACGACGAAGUUUGAGAGCAACCAAUAGUUCAUCCUGAUUAGGAAGAUUUUCUUCAAUCACAGGGACUUGCUUGAAAGUUUCAAUCCAGGCAUGCAAGUGAGGGAAUUUGUGUGAUUCAAAUAGUUUAGCGCCCACUAUAUCUUCAAUGACUUGCAACCAAUAAACAAUUGAACCAAACGCUAGGUCCACUAAGCCAAUAUUGUCUCCAUUGAAAAAUUUCUUCUCUCCCAAGCCAUGCUCUUCAACUGUUUGUAGCAUUUCCAAUGCUUCCUUCAUUGUGUUUUGUAGUUCUUGUCCAGUGCUACGAAACAUUUUCCAAACAGCAACACCCUGCCACAAAUAUUUUACAUCUGAUUUUAUCACCGACAUGAUUAAUUAAUAAUAUGUAUAUAAAAAGUGAAAUAUCGUUAGACAAUAUGCACACGUGUCACAAGAACCUUUAAUUAGAGGUUUAAUAAGUUAAUUAAGAGAGUUCAACCACUGAGUUGUAAAAUCUGUCAUUAGCUAGUAAAUUCACUUUUUCCCAAUGCUUCAAAAGUCAUCAAAAUUCCCCGUGAAGUUAAAAACGGUUGUGUUAACUUUAACUUAUUACAUCUUUUCAUAUUUAAGGAUAAAACAGUGAAGACACCAGAAAUUGAAAGUUUAGAGAACUUUUUACAAAUAAAUAUGAAGGAGACCCCUGGGUGGCUGGGCUCGACUGGCUAUGAAUUCACUUCCGCCAUCACCCGAGUUCGAGUAUAUACGGAGAGUAAGAUUUAGUGUUUGGUGGGUGGGUUUCAUUAUCCUCGUCACCUAAUCUAGAUCUUAAAAUAAAUAAAUAAAUAAACAAAUUUGAAAAGAACGAACUUAAUCAUAAACGUGUUUGCCAGAGUUGUGAGCGAACCUUGUCUUCAGCGAAUUUGAUCCAAAAUCGAGCUUGAGCCCUAUCAUAAGGAUUAUUUGGCAUCAAGGAGGGAUUCUGUGGCCACGUCUCUUCGAUGUAUUCGAGAAUAACCAUGGACUCACAAACUGGUUUUCCGCCAUGGACGAGCACUGGGAUCUUCUUGUGAACUGGAUUAUACUUCAAAAGCAAUGCACUUUUGUUUGAGAGAUCUUCGGAAACAAAUUCAUAUGGUACGCCUUUCAAUUUCAGAGCCCAAAUCACCCUGUAAACAAAUGGACUCGGCAGGGCCCCAUGAAGCUUCACUUCAGCCAUGAUAAUUCUAAGAUUGAAUUUGAAUUAUCGGUUUUUCUGAUCGAUGUUGUGUAUGGCUGUUAACUCAUUACAUAUGUUUCUGAAUUUAUAGUGAUUUAUGGUAUGCACUUUCUUGAGCAGAAAGCUUCAAUUUUCCAUUAAUAAAACGAUUAAUGAUGAAUUCAAAGAACUAGUGCGAUGACUUUAAUUAAAUAUUUUUUUACGUUGUGUGCAACCGCUUUUUGAGGUUAAUUUAAAGGAUAUUAUUUUCUCCUGAUCAAAACUUUUAUAUAAAAAAAUAUACAAUAAUGCUACACAUCCCAAAUUUUUUAUCCCAAAAAGUUAUCCCAAAUGAUGUGGCAUUUAUCAAUUGGUUGGUGAAAUAAUACAAUUAGUUCACUUGGAUAUUAUAAAUAAUUAUCAACCACUCAAUUAAUGACACAUCAUUUGGGAUAACUUUUUGGGAUAAGAAAUUUGGGAUGUGUAACAUUAUUGAAAAACAUAAUUAUGUAAUUGGUAGUUAUUAAGUAGAAAUAAAAUAAAAAUUAAAUUUUGACCGUAAAUAAAUAAAAGUUCAUAUAUGUUAUAAAGAUUUUUUAAAACGCUAGCCAAUGAGAUCAAUAAUUUGGUCAACCAGUCAGAGAUAACCAUACAAUAAUUAAUCAAAAUUUUGCCAUUUGUUUUACAUUUAAGACCUUUGCGUCAUGCAUGAUGAUCAAUUGAUCAUGACAUGGAUCAAUUAGUCAACAAGACAUUUGCCUUUUGUGCAUGUAUCCACAUUGGACACAAAUAUAAUUUGUUAUAAAAAAAUUGGACUAAAUUAUUUUUUAAUAUAUUUUUUUAAAAUAAUACAUUUGAUCCUAGAGGGCCUGUUAUUUAGUUCGUGAAUCUUAUAACAUGACCCAUGAUUUUUUUUUUAAAAAAAAUCUUAUGGGUCCCCUAUUAUUUAAUUUGUGGAAUUGACGGAGGUAACUUACAGUUUCAUUUUUGUAAUUUACAGCUUUCAAUAAAUUCAGAUAAUAUUAGGCGGUAAAAGUCGGCCAGGCUGGAGGAGUAGAUCUAUAAAAUUUGCUAGCACUUUGCACUAUCUGUUUGGUGCCCAGAAACACACAUAUAUAUCAUCCACUUUUUAUGUUAAGACUUUUAAGUCUUUAAUCACAGCAAGACUCACAAAUCUUGAUGAGUAGAAACACCAAGAACACAAUCCAAUCAAGAAAGCCAGAACAGAGAAGCUAUACCAGAAACAAAACAAAGACACAGACCAGCAAACUUAGAAGGAAAAUUUACUCAUUAUUAUUGAUCAAGAACUAACCCAAUCACAAGUGAUUUACAGAAGAUUAUGCACAGAUCACAAUGGAACAGAUUCUAUGCAAAAUGAUGAACUAAUGAAGACGAUAUUAGCUCUCUAUCAGGCACCACCCAUCAGCCUCUGUUUUAUAUCAGUGUGCUGGGCUCGUUAUAACAGAUUAUAACGAAUCCAUGCCACGUCAGCAGACGAUAUCAAAUAGACCCCAUCAACUGAAGUCAAUCUGCACAACAACUCACAACUUUUCCAGUUUCUUCAUUUCAGUCCACAUACACAUAUCUUCACAUUUUAUUUAGCGCUGGGUUUUUUUCGACCCAUAAUAAUUUCUCUUUGCACAUCAAGUUUUUAAUAAAAACUUUUAUUGUCAAGAUAAAUUGUUAGUAAUUACUUCACUAAUCCUCCUUUUUUUUUGGGCCAAUUUCUCUUUCGCAACUGACAAAAUUUAAUUCACAUCAUGUGAUAGUAUGAUUACAAAUAAAAUGAAGUUAUCUCUCGCAAGUUGUUCAAAAAUACAUUGACAUAUCUUGUGUAUAUAACUAAAGAACAAUACCAAAACCACUAUCCUCUAGCUGAUCGCUGCUAUUAGGACGGCAAAAUUAGUCGUAAAUAUGUAAAUUUGUAAAUUUGUCUAAACCCAUCUACAAAAAUCUUUCCACUGCGAAUAAUUUUGUAGGUUGCGGAUAAGUUUGAUAUUUUUAAUUUUAGUUCGUUGCAGGUUACGGAUGGAUUCAGUAUUGAGAAAAAAAUUGGCAGGUGUCUGCCGACUAGCAUUUUUUUAAUUAUUUAUGUUUUUAAUUUUAAUCACAAAGAUUGUCUUAAAAAAAUUUAAUCAUAAAAAUAUAGUAGUUAAAGUUAUUACUCUAAUCUUCCAAAUUCCUAAACCUAACCUAACUCAUGACAGUUGCACACCCUACUCCUUCAAGUAUGUAUGUAUGUAAAUGUAUACACACGCACACACACACAAAAUUAGCUUUUAAUAAGUAGAUUUAGUAUUUUUCAAGUUUAAUAUUAAUGAUAUUUUAAUUUAAUUUAAUUACUUUUGUUUGUUUCGCUUUAAUGACUUGAACUUAGUGAUUUCUGGCUAAGAUUGGAUUUUUAUUUAUCUAAUUAAUGGUCAAUAGUUGUCCAAAAUAUAUUUGUUAAUAUUGUUGACAAUACUUAUAUAUUGACUAAAAGAUAGAGCAAGGCAUUAAUUUUAGUAAUAAUUAUUUGCCUACAACAAAAAUAUUUUGUGUUAGAAUGAUAUAUUUUGUGUAUUUGUUUUAAUAUUGAAACUUUAAUUUCUCUUUUACAUUGAUAAAAUCUAAAGUUGAGUAGUUUAUGUAGAUUUUUUAGUAUGUUACUAUAAAGUUAUAUUUUGAAUUAUAUAAUUUAAAUUAUUAAAUAUAAUUUUUUAAUAUUUAUGAUUUUAAAUAUAAAAAUUUAUUAAAAAAAAAAACUACUACAUGUUAUGGGUGGAUUUGCUAAUUAUUAAAAAUUAUAGCGAACGAACUAAAAAAAAAAAGAGGCAACCGGUUACGGGCGAAUUUAAUAAUGACAAACCCAUAAUAAGCGAUACCAUUACCAUCGGCAACUUCUAUAACGCAGGGCCGGGGGCGGUCUUGAAUUGUUAGAAGUUGCAACAUUAAUUAGCAAAAUUUUCAGCGGCAUCCCUGAAGUUUAGCAUAGAAUUAGAUAUAUCCCCUUGUUUUCAAAAUUAGUCUCUGAUUCCCAUGUUGUUUACUUAAUUUUUUUUUUUUUUUCAUUUCAAUUGGAUUUAUAACUUCGUAAUGUUGCGCCUUGUAAAAUGUAUGCUUAAAACGCGUGCUUCUUAUUUUUUAUAUACUGCUAAGAGAAUUUGAGAAUAGAAAUAUAUAAAAUGGUGUCUCAUUUAUUAAUUAUUUAUAUCCUCUAAAUAGCACCUAACAUGCAAGCUCACUUCAAUAGUAAAAUUAAUUAAACAAAAAAAAAGCAUUUUUAACGCCAGUACAAAAACAUAACAAGUGUAAAGGAAGACUCAUUAACUUAUUUUAUGAUAUUAAAUUCACACAGAUACCAUCAAUGUUUCUCGACAACGUUUGAAAGAGACCACCAACUCACGCUGAUUUGGAAGAUUUUCUUUAAGUAUAUAAGUGAAAGUUAUUACUCUAGUCUUCAAAAUUCUUAAACCUAAUCUAACUCAUUACAGCUGCAUGCCUUUCUCCUUUUAUUAUAUGUAUAUAUUUUACGAUGAAUACAAUAACUUUUAAUAAGAAGAAUUUUAUACUUUUCAAGCUUAAUAUUAAUGAUAUUUUAUUUUAUUUUAAUUACUUUGAAUUGUUUUGGUUUAAUGACCUGAACAUAUUGAUUGUUUGCUAAAGUUGAAUUUUUAUUUGUCUAAUUAAUUGACGAUAGCAAUUGUGUAAAAUUUACUUAAAAAGAUAAAAUCUUAGUAGAUUACAAAAAGAUUUAGUAAUGACAAACAUGUAGCAGCCAAUACACAUUACCAUCCCCAACUGCUAUAAUGCAGGGCCAUGGGCAGUCUUAAUUGUUAGAAUGUGCAAAAUUAAUUAGUAAAAUGUUCAGCAGUAUCCUUGAAUUUUAGCAUAGAAUUAGAUAUAUCCCCUAGUUUUCAAAAUUAGUUUUUGAUUCCCCUGUUGUUUACUUUAUAUAUAUAUAUAUAUAUAUUUCACUUGGAUAUAUAACUUUGUAAUGUUGCGCCUUAUAAAAUGUAUGCUUAAAAUGCAUGCUUAUUACUUUUUAUAUGCUGUUAAGAGAAAUUGAGAAUAGAAAUAUGUAAAAUAGAGUUUCAUUUAUUAAUUAUUUAUAUCCAUUAAAUAGCACCCAACAUGUAGUUCGUCUCAAUAGUAAAAUUAAUUAAACAAAGCAGAAAGAUUUGUUUUAGAAUCAGUACAAAAAUAAAAAAAGCACAAAGCGAGAAUCACAAACUUAUUUUAUGAUAUUACAUUCACGCAGAUGUCACCAAUGUUUCCCGACGAUGUUUGAAAGUGAUCACCAUCUCAUGCUGAUUUGGAAGAUUUUCUUCAAUUACAGGUACUUUCCUGAAAUUUUCAAACCACUCAUGCAAGCUUGGGAAUUUGUGAGAUUCAAAUAGUUUCACUCCCAUUACAUCUUCAAGGACCUGCAACCAAUAAGCAAUGGCUCCAAAUGCUAGGUCCGCUAAGCCAAUAUUGUCUCCAUUGAAAAAUUUCUUCUCUCCUAGGCCAUGUUUUUCAACGGUUUGAAGCAUUUCCAAGGCUGCCUUCAUUGCAUUCUCCAGGUCUUGUCCAGUGCUGAAAAACAUUUUCCAAACAGCUACUCCCUGCCACAAGAUUUUAUAUCUAAUUCUUAUCACCACAUGAUUAAUAAUAUAUAUGAGGUAAAAAGAAAUUAGAUAAUAUGUACACACGCGUCAAAGUAUCUUUUAAAGCCUAGACGUUUCAAACUGUCAAAGUAUUUAGGAGAGUUUAUCCACUAAUUUUUAGACUAGUUUAGUAUAACUUUUUAGAACUUAUUUAAGUAGAAUUUUUAUUAGUAAAAUUUUAAUUUUUAUAAAAAAAUUAAUUAUUUAAUUGUUAAUGAAAUUUUUUUAAAAUUAUUUUAAUAGACAAAUUUUUAAAGUUAUGUUAUGAAAUAAAUAAAAUAAGAUUAUAAAAUAAAUGAUGAAUAUUUUAAACAAUUUAACUUUUAAAAAAAUCCUCAACCCUCUAUUUCUAAAAGUGUAAAUUCAAACUUUUACUAAUAUAAGCAAAAGAAUUUAUUUAAUCCCAAAAAGCUCUACUAAAAAUAAAACUAAAAAAUAAUAAAAAUUUUGAAAAGAGUUUUUUUUUUAAUUAAAUAAACAGGUAUGAGUAAUAAAUAAGCCAUAUCAAACAAAUACUUAAUGAAAUAAAAGGAAAAAGAUUAAAAAAAAUCCUCUUAUUGUUUUAGUAAAUUAUAAUUUUGCUUUCAUGUUUCAAAAGUCCUUGAAAUUCCCCUUGUCGCUAAAAUUAUAUUUUAAUAUUUUACCCUUGAUGCAGUAAAAUCCACGGUUAAUUAAGAAAAAUUUCUAAAGAUAAAAAAUUUAAAGUAAUUAACCGAUUUUUUUUUUAUAAAUCUCUAAUGUAAAAUAAAAGGUCCAUUGAGCUUCGUCGGCCGUGAAUGCAUUUUGCACAUGCGAGGACAUUAGUUUGAGCAUUAAUAGAAGAUAAAAAUUAAUGUUUAGAGAGUCAUAUUUCUCAUAUACAAUGAAAAAUUAAUUAAAUUUAUAAACGUGUUGGCAAGAAAAGUUGCGAUGCGAACCUUGUCUUCGGCAAAUUUAAUCCAAAAACGAGCUUUAGCUCUAUCAUAAGGAUCACUUGGCGUCAAGGAGGGAUUGUGUGGCCACAUCUCUUCAAUGUAUUCGAGAAUAACCAUGGACUCGCAAACUGGUUUUUCGCCAUGAACGAGCACUGGUAUCAUCUUGUGAACUGGGUUAUACUUCAAAAGCGAAGCACUUUUGUUGUAGAGAUCUUCUUCAAUGUAUUCAUACGGGAUGCCUUUCAAUUUCAGAGCCCAUACCACCUUGUUGCUAAAUGGACUCGCCCAUCCCCCGUGGAGCUUCACUUCAGCCAUGUGUCUCAGAUCGAAUUUGAAUAUGUUUGUGGUUGUUUUGCUUAGCUGAUGAGUUAUUGCAUACGUACAUCUGAAUUUAUAAUGAUUAAUGUUGGAAUGUCGAGUGCGCUUGCUUGAGCAGGGAGCUUCAUAUUUCCAAUUUAUUUAAUAAAACGAUUAAAUUAAGUUGAAUUCAAUGAGCUAAUGCUGCGACUUUUUAACAAUUCUGUUAUAUAUUCAACGAGAAGAGGUAUCGUAUUUGACGGGAAUCUCUUGAAACAGUGCUGAAUUAACAAGUAAUCUUAUUUAAUUUGGUCAACUGGUCAGAUGUGGAUUAAUUAUAUGUUUGGCGUUUGUUUUAGGUGCCCAGCUAGCCCUGCUGCUGUGUUUUUGACUUUACUAUGGGGUGGAGUCGUGGAGAUAUCAUCAUCCCAACUGAAGACAUAUUAUGAUAUUCUCCUGAAAACUUUGUGAGACUCAUUUACUUUACAAUUUUAGCAUUUUAGGCCCAAUAACUUCAUAUAUAUGACGUUUUGUCCCCCGGCUCCACCUCUUCUUUAUAAAUCCGAACACCUGAAAAAUGACGAGACCGGAACAACUCUCCGUCUUAAGUCUAUGCAAAUUUUACACACAAGAGAAAGAGAGGGAGAGGGGCGGCCAUGAGAGACAACGAUACAGAAAAGAAUAUGGAAAAGAGUUUAUUAAUACCAAAAGAGAGUUUAUCAUCAACAUCCACAACAUGGGAUUUGUUGAGUGGAGAAGUGAAAAAGCAGGGUUACAUAGCAGCACCAAUGGUGGCUGUAACUUUAUCACAGUAUUUGCUUCAAGUUGUUUCCAUGAUGAUGGUUGGUCAUCUUGGUCAACUUGCUCUUUCUAGCACCGCCAUGUCCAUCUCUCUAGCUAGCGUUACCGGCUUCAGCGUCCUUGUGAGUCCUAUAAUCCAUAUAUAGUUAUAUACACAAUAUUGUUUAUUCUUUCUUUUGAUAGGUAUUUGCAUCAUUGCAUGUGGGAUUUAAACAAAUAGAUAUGCCAAAUUUCUGAUGUUAAAAAACAUGCAAUUAACUUAUACCCUGUUAGUAAAAAUGCCAUUAAUUUUUAAAGGACUUGAUUUGCUUUUUUUUUUAAAAAAAAUAUAUUCUACAGCUAACUUGAAUUGUGUAAUAUUUUCUUUGAAACAGUUAGGAAUGGCAAGUGCUCUGGAAACAUUAUGUGGGCAAGCAUAUGGAGCUCAGCAGUAUCAAAGAAUUGGAACUCAAAUUUACACUGCAAUAUUUUGUUUAUUCUUAGUAUGUUUUCCGCUUUCCUUUCUAUAGAUUUACAUGGGAAGGCUGCUAGUUUUGGUGGGCCAAGACCCCCAGAUUUCACAUGAAGUAGGCAAGUUUAUAAUCUGGCUUCUUCCAGCUCUGUUUGCUUAUGCAGCAAUGCAGGCGCUUAUUCGAUAUUUUCAGUCUCAAAGUUUGAUCAUUCCCAUGUUCUUAAGCUCCUAUGCCGCUCUUUGUUUGCAUAUUCCCAUCUGUUGGGGUUUGGUAUUCAAGUCUGGACUAGGGAACCUUGGAGGAGCAUUGGCAAUUGGUAUAUCGUAUUGGUUGAAUCUAACUUUCUUGGCAAUUUACAUGAAGUUCUCCACUGCUUGUGCAGCAUCCUGGGCUCCAAUUUCAAUGGAGUUGUUCCGAGAAAUUGGAGAGUUCUUCCACUUUGCUAUCCCUUCUGCAGUAAUGGUUUGGUAUGUUAAUUAUCCUCUGGAGUUUUAUUUUCCCUUCUCAUAGAUAUCGUAGACACGUCAUAAAUUUUCAUGCUUCUUCUUUUGUUUAUAAUUUUGCAGCCUAGAAUGGUGGUCAUUUGAAUUGCUCAUUUUAAUGUCAGGGCUGUUGCCUAACCCACAGCUUGAAACUUCAGUCCUAUCUGCAUGGUAUGUUGACAUAGACUUUGUAUGUGAAAGUUCUAUACAGAGAAGCACCUACCAAAGGAAAUAGAUUUUUUUUCUUUUUUUCUUUUUUUCCCCGACUGCUCAUUAUUUGUCAACUUCUUUGGGCAGUCUCAGUACUAUUCAAACCCUCUCUGCAAUCCCUUAUGGACUUGGUGCUGCAGUGAGGUUUGUUCAUAACAAUCAUUUAAAUAAUAAUUGUUUUAUAUCAACUAAUUAGCAGAUUAACCAUUAUUUCCUUCUAUAGUACUAGAGUUUCAAAUGAACUAGGAGCUGGGAAUGUGCAAAGAGCCCGUGUAGCUGUCUAUGCUGUGGUCUUUAUGGCAGUCAUGGAGACUAUCAUAGUAAGUGCAUCUCUCUUUGCCAGCCGGCGUGUUUUUGGUUAUGUUUUCAGCAAUGAGGGACAAGUUGUGGAUUAUGUCACAACCAUGGCUCCUCUGGUUUGUUUGUCUGUCAUCAUGGAUAGCUUACAAGGAGUCUUUUCAGGUUAAAUUAACUUCUUCAACUCUUUCAAUUGCUAAAUAGUUCUCUUUAAGUAGAAAUAAAUUUUUUCAGGUUUCUAAAUUCUUUUAAUUAUUUUUAAGGUGUUGCAAGAGGAUGUGGGUGGCAGAAUAUAGCUGCUUUUGUGAAUCUUGGGGCUUAUUAUUUGUGUGGAGUCCCAACUGCUGCCAUUUUGGGUUUCUGGUUAAAGUCUAGAGGAAGGGGCCUAUGGAUUGGGAUACAAGCCGGUGCUUUUACACAAACACUUCUGCUUGGCUCAUAACAACAUUUACAGAUUGGGAAAAACAGGUCUGUUUCUCAACAUUUAAUCCCUUAAAAAUUAGAGAAGCUUAUUGGACUAUAUAUGUAAAUAUGUAGCAAUUUUUUUUCCCAACAAGUAUAUGAUACCUUCUGACUGAAAGUUCAAGAUUAAAAUCAUUCAGCUUGAUCUGAAAUGGUUAGUAUUAUCAUCUUAUGCAGAAAUGGUUUUGCUCAUUGAGAAAAUGAUAUUCAAUAACAGACGUGCAAACUCAUUUGAAAAUUUGCUUUUUUGGAAGAAUUAUAACCAUUUUCUAGUUUGUUAAUUGUUACAAGUUCUGUGUUUCUAAGGGGUUUCUCAUGUUGCAGGCAAGUAAAGCAAGGAAAAGAUUAUCAAAGGGAAGAUCUUUGGCAGAUAAUAGAGUAGUAUGUGAGUGACCAGAGUCAAUCAAUGAGCUGAUACAUACAUUUUCCAGUUGAAAGAGAUAAUCAUUGCUUGAGAAAAUGAGCUGAUCAUAUGUCAAUUGAUGGCCAAGAAGGUCCCCCAAUCUGAUCUAUGGAGCAUGACAUUUCAUGAAACUCUGUUUCUAGAGAAAAAAAAAAAAAAUUAACAGCUUCUUAGGAUUGCACAUUGCAGCAUCAGGUGACUUAGCAUUUCCAGUAUGAAUGAAUUAUAAGAUAGAUGAUGCUGCAAAAAUGAAUAGAGAUAAAAAUUAAGCAAGAGAAAAUGUUUGAAUGUUAUUAUUUAAACCUUUUCCAGUGAUUGUAGAGAUAAUUUGCUUUGUAUUGAAAACUUUCACCAUCUGAAAGAUAAGGAAAAUAUUAAAAGAAAAAAGAAAAUUCUUAAAUCUUUUCCAUGUCAUUCUAGCAAAGUUGAAUUGUGAUUCUUAACCCUACACCACAAUGUAAGGUGGCCUGUGGCCUGUGGGUAACACACAAUUUGACAACCCCAUAUAUUAAGUAAUCUAGAUGGAGGACAUUAAAUUUUUCAAUUUUUUAAUUUUUGUUCAUUUUUUUUUUUUUAAAUUCAAACGACACCUCUUUCAUUGUGGCAUUGGAAUGUAUAGAGAUUUGCACACUGAUUUUGGACCAUACUUCACAAAUAAUGCGACGCACAUCUUUCUUUCAGUACUUCUUCAGGAGGACGUUGUUGUCCUUUUACCUGAAGCAAGUGCGUGUGCAUGCAUUGUUGUUGUCUGUUAAUCUGCUGCCACUUUGCUGCCAAAAAACUUGAAAAAUAAACUGGGAAAAUUUUCAAUAAGCAAAGUCAAACAACUAACCCCUGUUUUCAGUUAUAUUCCUAAGAAAACUUUUAACACUCAAAUAAAGCACACAGCUAAAGUAUUUCUAUCACAUUAGCGUUCGAGUGAGGCUUGAUUUACAUUUAUAUCAGAUAUACCAAGUGUUUUUUAUUCUUUUAAUUAAUGUUUAUUCCUAAGAAAACUUUUAAUUGAUUAUCCACAUAUAUAAACAAACCUAGCUCGCAAUGUGAAAUAUAUUAAAACAGCAACCAUAAUAUUUUCAAAUAUUUAAAUUAACGGUGAUGAUAUUUUCACCCCAUGAAUUUUAUAAACCCACCCAUUUUUAAAAAAAUUAUUAUAAUCAGUUCACAUUAUUUUUAAAAAUUUAAAUUAAGAAGAAAUUAAAAAAUUGAUCAAUUGAAUUCAUAUUCAUUUCUUUUUUAAACUGCGUUUCUUUAUUAUAUUUAAUCAAUAAGAUUGCUUUAACAUAAAUUAGUAUGACUAUUUUACCCUCAUAAGAUAAAAGUAUCAAAAUAUCUAAAAAUUCACUUUAACUUCAAUAAAUUUUUAUGCAAUUUUUUUUAUAUUUUAAUGAUGUAUUAGUAAUUGUUAGUACAAUUAUUAUUACUCCACUAAACUAACAAGAUAUAAUUAGGACAUGUGGUGAAUUGAAAAUAAUUAAAUUUUAUAUAAUACAUAUUGGAUUAUAAAAUAUAAAACUAAAUAUCUAAGCAAUUAGUUACAAUAAUAUAUAUAUAUAUAUAUAUAUAUAUAUAUAUAUAUAUAUAUAUAUUUCUUAGAGUAAUUUGGUAAUUUUAUAUUAUAAGGGUAAAAUAAUCAAAUUAAAUUUAUCUUGAAGCGCUUCAAAAGUUAAAGAUUGUUAAAAGGCUAAGUCGGAAAAAAUAUUAUAAAAUUGAUUUAAUUAAUUAAUUAUUUAAAAAUUUUAUAAUUUUAUAAUUUUAUAAAAUAAUGCAAACUUAUUGUAAUUAUUUUAUACAGAUGGACUGGGUUUAUAAAAAGAGUAAUGAUAUAGCCACAAACUCUUGUACAAACUUAUUUUGUACAAAUUGAUGUGGCAUGAUAAGAUUGGUUGAAUUAAAUAUCACUUGGCCCACAUGAUUUGUUUUUAUUAUUUUAUAUUUUCAUUCGACCAAUAAAUUAAUGCCACGUCAGUUUGUACAAGAGUUUGUGGCUGUAUCAUUACUCUUAUAAAAAUAGCAGGGUGGAUAUACAUACACCCCUGAAUUAAUAGUCAGUAUAAAUUUUAGAUACCUCCCCUAAGAUUUGACUUUGCUACACUUAGAGAAAAUGUAAACAUAUAUUGACAAUAUACCCCCUAGUCGUGUAUAAGGGUUAGGCACUCAUUAGGUAGUUGAGGGCAAUGACGUACAUGUUGCAUAUUUUUUUAUUUUUAAAUCUUACAAAAGCUGUUAUACUGUAACUAAUUAGACAAGAGCAGCGAAAAUGCAUACAGUGCUUUGAAGCUAGGGAAGCCCAAGGGGAUAGUAACCCAUUUUCAUUGUCAAUGCCUAGCUUCAUUUCUUCUUCUUUUUUUCUCAGCAUAACUUGAUGAGUGCUUAGCUUCAUUUCGAAGGUCGUGACACCAACUGAUUUUACCAAAAGCAGAGAUACUUUGUGAUGCAGUAAGCUAACAAGUUUCUGAAAUCAACUAUGUUUUGAACCAAAUUCCGGCGACGACCAGCAGCUGAAAAGCCGGUGAUUAAAGGGCACACUAGGUGCGUAAUUCUAUCAAAUCUUAAAACUGAAGUUAGGUUUUAUUAUUUUCUUGCAUUUUGUUGAAAAUUGCUGUUAGUUAGGUGCUUUAUUCUUUGUUCCAAUUAAUUGAGAAAAAUGUUUAGGGUUUAUAGAAAUUGAAGUAGUGACCGAAUAUAUCUGAAUUGAUUUUUAAGUUGAUAGUCACUCAACAUGUUGUGUAAACUAUGAAAAUAAUUUAUUUUUUGAUGAUUUUGGACUCUGGUUUUUGAAUGCCUACUGAAAUUUGCUUGAUCUGUUAUUAAAAUUGAGAAAAAUCCAAUCUUUUUCUAAGAAUGCAGAGGUGUUGCUGAGAAAAUGCUUAUGGUGUUGUUUUGUUUCUUUUUUUAUGUUACAAGUGUGCAGUUCAUGUAAGAUUGAGACAAUUGCUCUUGUUGCUUUUUGAUGUUUGUAUAGACUAAUUCCAAUCACUGAUUUUUGUUGGAAAAUGGAUGCUAUUAUUUUUCCUUUUCUUCGUGUAAAAAUUUGUAUUUCCGUUCCCGACAUAAAAUUCAGAUGCUUGCCUAUUACUUUUUGAGGUUGUUAUUUAGGUGUAAGAGAUAUAUUAGUUAUAGAGCUUGUAGGCAGUUGGUUUAUUGAAGAACUAGUACAGUUGAGAAAGUGUCUUUUAGGUCAUCCAUUUUAAUACACAUAUUAACAGAUUUAAUUACAUAAACACAAGACUUCAUUUGUUUAUCAAAGUAGUACUUUCUGAUGCUUUCGUAUAAUGAAUGCCAAAGAGAUGACAUUUGCAAAAAGGCCAUUUGAAUGUGCCAACUGCUAUCCUUGUAAACCUCUAUUGUGAUUCUGUUAUCAUUAUAUGUUGUUUAAUGAUCUGAUGAUUUCGAGAUAUCAAGAUGAGUUUAUUCAUACAAUAAAUGUUGUCAUUAGGUUCAUAAUUAUUGUAGUACAUGUUCAUUUAGCUACUUUAGGUACUGCUACAUGCAUUUAUUGUAUAAUGCCUACUUAGCAGCCAUAACUACACCCAUUGUUGAAGCCACAACAGCACAAAUGAGAAAAAAAACAUGUUUAGGAACAACAUUGUCUUUAUAUCAUUUCAUUUUACUCCAUUUUGUUGUGCUUUUUGCAUCAGUGACUUCAAAUCCUUCCUAUCCUUUUGCAUACUCAUCAGCAGUUCAUAAUUUGCUUGACAUGUUCCUAAACCAUCAAAUAUAACACCUUGGUCGAUAUCAUUUGAAGAUGGCAUCCAAAACUUGAAAUAGCCACAACCAUUUUUGCUAUCCAUACAGCAAUAAUAUAGCUUGUUUGGGUUGUCAUCUGAUUCCGCUACCUUCAUAGCAGCUCUUUUGUAGCAUUUACUAAUCUUGUUUGAAAAUCAAAUGAAUUUAAAAUAUUCUCAUUUAUUGUUUUUUGUAGCGUUCACUAAUCUUCUGAUAUUCAGUAUUGUUUUUAUAUAAAUUAAUUUAAAAUAUUAUCAUUUAUUUGUCUUAUUAUAUGAUUUUACACUAUCAAAUUAUUUGUUUUAAGGGGCAUUUUGGUCUUUUCAACACUCCAUUGAGUUUUGUCUUAUUAUAAGAAUAUGUAAUGUCAACAACAAUUAUCAUAAGGGUAUAAUAGCCUUUUCACCCCCCCAGGCGCGAAAAAAAAAAUUGCCCCAAAUAUAAAGAUCAUCUACAGUGUCAAAUAAUUUUGAAGGGCAUUAUUGUACAUUCACUCAACUACCUAAUGGGUGCCUAACCUUCAUACAUGGCCGGGGGUAUGUUGUCAAUAUAUGGAUACAUUCUCUCUAAGUGUAGCAAAGCCAAACCUCAGGGGUGGUUUCUAAAAGUUUUCCUAAAUAGUUAAUAAUUUUAUACAACAGAUUCUUGGAUACCCCUCAAGUUCAUUUAUUAUACGUUAUGGCUGACUUUCAAGAAAUUAAAUUCUACAUUAUGACCCCUAGGGAAACAACGUCGCCAAUAAAAUUAUAAACUAUAUGUGUGUAAUAGUUGUCAAACCUGAACCUAUGUUGUUUAGCAAUUUACAAAAUGAGAAAGACGACAAAAGCCAAGUGUUAGAGCGGCAGCGAGCCAACGAGACAAGCUCAAGUUCACUGUGUUUUUGUUGAACCUUCUGAAGAUCCGAAACUCGAGGUUUGUUUUUUCGUUCCCUAAUCGUUUGACCACAUUUUUAUUCUGUGCUACGUUCGUUAUGAACUAUUCAGGCUAAGUGUUCGACGAAAUUCCUAAGUGAGUAUAUAUAAUGGUUUGCUCUUGUAUUUAUUCUGUUAUAGAGGGUUUUGCUUUGGGUGGUUAAAUAGAGGAGAUUAGACAUUGAACUUUAUGCACUCGUAUGUUUUCAAGUAAUUGUUUGCUGAGGCACAUGUACUUUGAAUGGCUUCAUUCAUCUACAGAGAUAUCAUAACAUUUUUUGCUUAAUGUGAGUCUUAUUGUUGUUAAUUUGUCCAAAGUGAAGGCUUUUUUAACUUUUAUUUCUUUGAUUUAUUUAUUUAUUGGUGUGUCAAAGUUCUGUGUCUAAACUUUUAUUUGAUAAGUUCUUUCAGACAACUAAUUAGAAGAAAAAAAUGCUAGAGAGUGAGUAUGAGAGGGAAUGAUGUUUGGGCAAAGGGUGAUUGGUUCACUUGGCUCAUGAAGGACCCCAACUAUAAUGACAUGUAUCAAUUUCGCAGCCUAAUUGGAAGGUAAGCUCAUUUCUUGAUUUCCUUCAAUUUUCACUUCCAUUUUACUGUUUUCAAGUAGCAGGUAUUCUAAAUAAAAGUAAAAUCAGUAGUGAUUUGCUUCAAAUGCAUAUGGAUAGUAUAUCACAUGUGAGAAGAUUGUAUUUGUUAUAUGAAAAUCCUUAAUAACUUUAAUUAAAAAAUAUAUUCUCAAACCUGAUCGUGGAAUGUACUAUUUCUUAAUAUCUGAGUUUGGAUCAACACAUUUUUUGCCAUGCAAUUUGACAAGUUGUCAUGUCCUCAUUCUGCACUAUUAUAAGUUUUGCCAAUCUGCAUAGGUGUUUAAUAGAUUGAGUUAAUCUAGUUUCGAGAACAUGCCUUGCUAAAGGACGUCGAGUUUCUAAGUGAGGGCAAGUCAGCGGGGCAGGUCUGUUACCUCUAAAUUCUUUCAAUAGCUUGGGGACGUUAAUCCUAUUAAUGACAGCCACAUAUUAUAAGUCAAGAAAACUGAUUUUUUGAUUAUUGAAAAAUCAAAUUUUUUGUAUUAUUCUAUUGAUGAUCUCAGUAACCUACCUGUUGCGGUUGUCUUGUAUGGAUCAUUGUUUCUCUUUUAAGCUGUUAUGGUGACAAUUUUUAGCUCUUAUUGCAGUUCUUAAAGUCAUUGCAAGCACAUGCUCUGUCGAUCUCCAUAAAUUCAGAUACAUAUGCAUAGUUAGCUAUUCAAACAACCACACUGGUAUUCAACUUCAAUAUUCAGAAACAUGGCUGAAGUGAAGCUUCAUGGGGCAUGGGCGAGUGCAUUUUGUUACAGAGUGAUAUGGGCUCUGAAAUUGAAAGGCAUAGCAUAUGAUUACAUUGAAGAAGAUCUCUCUAACAAAAGUGCUUUGCUUUUGAAGCAUAAUCCAGUUCACAAGAAGGUCCCAGUGCUUGUUCAUGACGCAAAAUCAGUUUGCGAGUCCAUUGUUAUCCUUGAAUACAUUGAGGAGAUGUGGCCACAGAAUCCCUUGAUGCCAAAUGAUCCUUAUGAUAGAGCUCUGGCUCAUUUUUGGAUUAAAUUUGCCGAAGAUAGGGUUUGCUUCAGAACUCUAGCUAAUGCGUUUAUAAGUUCAUUAUUUUCAUGUUUAUUUGUUAUUAGAGAAAAUGAUCAGUAUCCCCCAUUGUACGUCAAAAUUAAUUAUUUCUUCUUUUAUGUUUUAAAACCUAUCAAAAUCUCCAUUGUCGUUUAAAAAAUUCUGUUAACUUUCAACUUUUUUUGUCUUUUACUAAUUUACCUCUGGAAAAAUUUUUAUUAAUAGGAAGUUGAAAGUUUAAUAGAAUUGUUUUAACGGCAAGGGAAAUUUUGAUGGCUUUUGAAAUAUGAGGGAGAAAAAGGAUUAAUUUACCAAAACAACAUUGUGGUUUUGUUGUUCAUUUACCCUUUGUCAUUCAAUGUAGUGGUUAACCUCUAGUAUAAGGGUGCUUGACAAAUGACAAGGGUAUGUAUUGUCCAAGUCUUUUAGUUCAUACAUAUUAUUAAUCAUGUAGUGAUAUUUUGGCAGGGAGCUACUGUUUGGAAAAUGUUUCGUAGCGUACGAGAUCAAGAGAAUACAAUGAAAGAAAUCUUGGAAAUGCUAAAAACCGUUGAAGAACAUGGCUUAGGAGAGAAGAAAUUUUUUCAUGGAGACAAGAUUGGCUUAGUGGACAUAGCAUUUGCUUCCAUUGUUUAUUGGUUGCAAAUCAUUGAAGAUGUAGCAGGAGUGAAACUAUUUGAAUCUCACAAAUUCACUCGCUUGCACGCAUGGUUUGAAAAAUUUAAAUGAGUCCCAGAAAUUGAAGAGAACCUUCCUAAUUGGGGUGAACUAUUGGUUUUUUUCAAACGUCGCCGUGAAAAGUUGGUGGCCUCUUCCUCAUUGCAUUAGCACAAAAUUUGUUCGUGCAAUUGUAUUGUUGUUGUCAAGAGGCCGCUCUUUGCUUAGUUUUUGAUUAUCUUGUGUGCUCAAUUGGGAGGCCGCCGCUUUGCUGGGUACUUUCAUAUGGAUUUGAGUAAUAAGAGGGACUUGACUUUAUAUUUAUGAAUUAUUGCAUGUAUUUCGUUAAUUAUUAAUGGACUACUAACGGUUAUGUAUUGUUUGGGCGGAAGUUUACAUGCUGAUAUAUACUAAUGACUUGAAGUAAAGUCAACUUGUUUGAACGAAUGGUAAUAUAGUUCUAAAAAAUAAGAAGAAAAGCUCCUUGUGGAAAAAGAUAGUUCUAGUAAACAUGCCCAAUAUUAAAGGGUAUUAUCGAAACUUAUAUUUUAAUGGUUAGAGCCAGCAUGUGAACAGUGCCCCAUUAUGAAAGAAUAAUUUUUUUUUUGCUAAGAAUAAUGAGCCAAAAGGGCUUUAGAGAUUUUUUUUAGAUCUAAUUUCUUGAGAGACUUCUUCAUCUUCUUCUUCCUUUAUGGUUAGGGUUUCUUUCUCCAUUUUAACACCACCAUGGAAAAUUUUAACCAUCUCAUCUCCCAAAGAAGCCUUUUCCCUUACUCUUUUCCUGGAAAACUCUCUAAUCUCUAUAAAACUCAUAUCUCCCUCAUGUCAUUAUUCCUCAUAAACAACCUUUAAUAAGGUUUUGUCGAUAUUAUAAUGCAAAUUAUGUAAUACUUCAUUUAUAUAGUGGAUUGGAGAUGAAUUACUCUUAUGGAUGUAGAUCAAAGGGUCAAACAACGUAAAAUCUUAUGUGUUCUUUAUUGUUUAUGCUUAUUUUCUAUUUAUUAGGAUGAUGAUAAUACUCAAAUCGUAUUUCAUAUAUGAGCUCAUAUAGAGGCAUACCACGAGCUCUACUGAGCUCCCCAUAUAAGCUCUCUAGUUAAAGCUAUCCUCGAAUUCGCUAGAGCUACUUCCUAAACUCUCUUGAGUCCCCAAAUCAACUCUUUAAACUAAAUCCCAUGAGCUUCACAGAGUUUACCUCCCAAAACACUUCAAUUUGCCUCUCAAAUUACCUCAGUUCACCUUCCAGAUUACCUCAGUUAUUUCUUUUAUCCCUAACAGCAGAAAAACACACCUAGAUUUUUACUAGCUCAAUCUCCUCUCAAAUAUAAAUUUAUUUAUUUAAAUUAUAUUUAACCUUGUUAAUGAUUCAAAUCAGAUCCUAGAGGAAAUCCGGUCAAAACAUGUAUCUAUGUAUAAUAUUUAACAUCACCCUAACGAUCAAUACGAGUGCACUUGGAUUUAUUCUUAGUAGUACACAAAGUGGAAAAAGCAUAACAAGCAACACUUGCACGCUCGAGGCUCAAUAUAAGUACGAACGUCAUAAUUCCAAGCAACAAACAAUGAUCAUCAGUACUAAUUUUUUCUGCAAGCCACCAAAUUGGAAAAGUACCGCGAAGUAAUUAAUUAACCACUGCGACUUGCCAGCUUAAGGUUAUCCAAUGCUGAGAGUUCAUUAUUCUUUGAGGUUUGGUUAUUGUAAAUGUCUUUUAGAGUAAUUGCAGGAUAGAGCGGAGGAUUUUCUUCUGAUAGCAACUCUUUAAGUGGACCAUAUCGUCUCGAGCAACUAUUAUUCAUGAAAAAACUUCCGAUUGAAAUUCUGGAGUCUUCCUUAUUUGAUAACACUCUAUGAUAGGCACUCUUGAACUUAUCGUUGGUAAUCAGCUGCAUAAACACGAACACGUUGGUAAUCAGCUGGAUAAACACACACUUCAUAUAAACCAUAAUUAAGUUAUCUGAUAGAGAUUCAUGCUCGGGUGUAGACGUUCACAUAAUUUUGUAAGGACGAUUCUUUCACAGUAUUGUGAAAGAAUGUGUCCGCACAAGAUUUAGUGCGAACGUCCCACUUGAGAAUUUUCAAUUUGAUGGAUAGUAUUUCUUAAUAAGUUAUCUAACACACACUUGCCUGCAUCAUGUAGCCUAAGUUUACAACUAGAGUUCCCGGAACAGGGGCAAUGCCAAACCAUUGAUCUUCGUGAAAGACUUGGAGGCCACCAAUUUGAUCUUGUAUGAGCACAGUGACAAAUCCAGGGUCAGAAUGUGUUGCUAUGCCGAUGGACAAUUAUGGUUGAGGGCAUUCAGGUUAGUAACCAUUCCCAAUAGUCAUUUCCUCUUCACAACCUAUGUCUUUCAGGUAAUUGGGGUCAAGCCCUAAAGCUUCGGAUAGAAGUUCAAACAGAGUGUCCCCUGUUUUCCACAUUAGGUUGUUGUAUGCGAUCAUUAUCUCUCUGCAAAUUAAUAAAGACAAAAAAUAAUCACUACUAAAAGAAAGGGAGAAUGACAUUUCGACUUUUAGAAAUUAUUUUUUUAUUGGGUUAACAACUAGAUGAAAUGAGAGUAAUAAAAACUUAUUAGGAACCCAAGUGAUGCAAAAAGUUCUAAGAAAGAUGCAAGUGUUAUCCACUGUAAAAGAAAUAAAAUCUAUUGGUCAUCGUCCACAUACCUGCAAGCUUCAGGCAAAUCUUCAGGAUUUGAAAAAUCGCGACCCACAACACAACUUAAAGUAUCUUUCCAAAAGAGGGUUGGUGCACUAUACAAAUUUAAAUUUGAACAAUAUUUAAUUUUUUUGGAGUAAUCACGAGAAUAAUAUUUCUGCUCAACCUCAACAUCUUGUUGAAAAAACCUAUGGAUCCCAUCAAUGGCCUGAUCCAAAUGCUUGUUGGGAUUCCAUGAUUGAUCACUUGAAAGAAACCCCACUUCUCACGAGCACUUCUAAUUUGGUCAAUUACCUGAGAACGCAAACUUGAAUCCCUGUGUAUUCUUUGAAGGUCUAUGAUAGGGAUGCUGAUUUUGGGGUCCCUGCAGAUUGGCUUAUCAUCAAACUUAUGUUUAGUGUGAUGAUCUUGAAGGAUGAUCUGUGGAAUGGUUGUGAUCCCAGCAUCUACGAGUCCCUUAACACCAGCUUUCGUGUCAUCAUAAGCUUUCAACUCGCUAACUCUGUCACAAGUAAUGCUUCCCAUUGCUUGGUGAAUUAUCUUUUACCUGGUGAAUUAUGAAGUACAAAUGCUGACUUGCGGGUGAUUGCUUUUGGUAUAUGCCGUUUAUAUGAAUAUGAUUGCUAGCUUGCCACGUGCAACAUGUUGAAAUAUAACGUUAGCAUGAAGAUAUGGAAAUUUAUAAAAUUUGAUUCUGCGUUAUUUAUCAUGAUUAAAUUAAUUAUAAAUUAUCAAUAAUAGUCAAUUCCGGGAACUACCAACUACUGGGUGGCACAUCACAAUAAUAAAUUAUCAAUAAUAGUCAAUUCUGCAUUAUUUAAUAUUUAUGUGGAUAAAAUUUCAAUUAGCUACACUACAUUGUUGUUUGAUAGUUAACGUUUCACCUUCUCCAUUUGUAAAUAUUAUUAUGGACUUAUAGUGUGGCUUAAAAGCUAGAUCUUAAAUGAAAAGAAAGCUUUAAUGGUGAAAUAAAAAUUUAAAUAAAUGAUAAAGAGAUUAAAGGUUAACCUAAUGUUAGCAAAAAUAAUUGUAAAAUAUACAUGUUUUAUCAUGUUAAUUGAUGUUUUUCCAGUAUGCACAUAAAAAAGAUCUAUUUUACAAUUGUUUCUGUUGGCGUUCGGGCAGAUUUUUUUUAGUCUAAUUAAGUAUAUCAUAAGUUAAUAAUAGUGCGUAUUUUAACUUUAAUAAAUUUGGCCACUUAGAUUUUUAAUUUUGACUCCUUCCCUAAUCAAUCAAGAAAAAGAAUGCUUUUCUCCAUAAAAAUUAAAAUAGAAAAUUCAGCAAGGACAUAACUGCGGAGAUGUUUGAUUCUGGAUUUAUAUAUCAAAGCAACAUCAAAAUUAUAAUACUUCCUUGUUACCAAGAAGAGAUAUAUUCAAGAGCACUAGCCUUAUAAAGCCUUAACAAUACUAAACUACCUACAUGGAAUCUAAUGCGUACAUGCAAUGCUUUCUAAAGUGAAACUGUCGCUUGAAAAUAGAAUUCAUGUUCAGCAGCCUCUCUCUAUCCGAGCUCCAAUUUUAUAACAAGGCAGCUAAAUAAGAUGAUUUAGAUGGCAUCGGCAUCUGUAGUAUCGUUUGUCUGCAGUCCCUCAUUAUCUACGAUCUGAUCGCUCCCUAUAGUAUUGUUUGUCUGUAGUCCCUCAUUAUCUACGCUCUGAUCGCUCCCUAUAGUAUUGUUUGUCUGUAGUCCCUCAUUAUCUACGCUCUGAUCGCUCCCUAUAGUAUUGUUUGUCUGUAGUCCCUCAUUAUCUACCCUCUGAUCGCUCCCUAUGUAGAGAAUCGACAAGAGCAAAUUGUAGCACACGUUCACAGAACUAAUAACUGUUAAACUCUUAUAGUACUUGUCAAGCCUACUAUCAUCCAAGGUUUCAGCAAAGUCGCCUUUGUUUGCCAAAAUGAAAAAGAUGUUAAAAAUGCUUCCUAUUCCGACGAAAAAAGAACUUAUUGCUGAUACAUGGUACUCCAUCCGUUCAGGAAAAUGAGAGCUCGAGUAUUCAUCACAUCCAUGCAAAGCAAGCCCUUCCAUAAGACCCAAUAGACAGAAUUGUGGAACAAGCCAAAACAUGCUCAUAUUUUCCAAUUGUUUGCUCUUUUCCAACCUGCGAACCUCAACCUGCCAUGCCACUACACAGCAAACUGUAGACAUCACCAUUCCAAUGAAUGUUCUCAAUACUUGAGCUUGUCUCUGCUUCGUUUCCGGAACAAAUUUGAAAAUUAAUUUUUUCGACAGAUAAGAGAUCGUCGCACGAAUUAUGGCUUCAAAAGUAAGUAGAAAGAUUAAGUAACGUUCAGAAAUCAUUUUGGCUCCCUGCUCAGGAAAAAAUGUAUUUCCCGCUGACAGAACCAAUCCAAACACAAUGAAGCUAGACCACAAUGGCAACAACUUAAGAAGAGAUUUUGACUCCCUGACCUGGGCCACAGUGCAAAGUGUGCCUGCCUCUUCUUGUUCUUUAGAAGUACUUGAUGUCUCUAUAAUUGCCGCUUUGUCUAUCCACCUGCAAUUCAAAGAAUUAGUUUAUUGGUAAUUUUUUAGGAAAAUAGAAAGCGACAGCUCAUGGUUUGGCAAAAUGAUCACACAGACGCUUUUAUAAAUACGCCCUUUUGGACAAAUCUUGGAGGUCGGUGUGACUAUUCCCGAACACAAAAGGGUAUUAAUGUGUCCAUAAAGAGGUUUAUAUAAUUAUUAAUAAAAAUAAGAGGGUCUCCCCGACAAUUUUGCCAGACCACGGGCCGGGUGUGGGUGUAUACAUGUUAGGCAUAUACCUGAGUAAUUUGAUUCUGGGUGACAAGUGUAAUACGUUUCCCUCAUCAUUACUGAAGAACAGCUCCGGAGAAAGAGGAUAAUUGAGAUGCUUUUUCUUCAGGGAGGUUUUAACAACGCGGAUUAUAGCAAAACGGUCAAUAGGAGGUAUUUCUGUAUUAUGAUAAAAGGGAAUACCUAACAACAGGAGGAUCAAACUGCCCCCCAUAAACAACAAUGUAAACAUGAAAGUCUUCUUCCGUGUCUUAAUAUUAUUUGCGUAGAAUGCCGCAGCUGUACCACAGCACCAGGCAAACCGCCACCACACUCUUUUCUGAGCCAUUACUUGAUCCUCAUUUGAAUUUUCUGUUCUCCCUCCUUCACCAUGUUGUCUUAAUUGAUAGGCAAGAAAUGGUCCCAAAAGAGGAGCCGCUCCAACUUCACCCACUGCUAACAGGAUAAUUCCUAUCAUGUUGAGUAACUCAAAGUUGGUUUCUGAAAAUUCUCUGGACGCUGUACAGAACAAUAGUCCCAAUGCCUGAAACAAAAAUUGUUGGAACUAAUUGUAUAGCAUAACAUUAUGAUCCUAGAAAUGCUUUUCUUAAUCAUUAUUAUAAUCAGAGUGGAGCCAAAAUGAAUUAAUGUCACAUUAAUUAUAACUUAUCUAUUGAGAUCUCUAUCAUUAUAUUUAUAGGGGUAAGGCUCCUAAUAUCCUCUUAUUACGGGUGUGUGUAUAUAUAUAUAUAUAUAUAUAUAUAUAUAUUUUAAUAUGCUGUGAAAUUUAACAUUUACUGCAAAAUAAUAAUUUUUUUAAUUUAGCCCAAAGUACUACAAAGUCCUGGGUCCGCCCCUGAAUAUAUAUAUUGCUUGCAAACCUAGGAUCAUAACAUAUGUUUUAAUUUCGUCUCUGUUUAGAAGUUUUGCAAAUUCAAAACAUAUUAACUUACAAGGAUGUAGGAGACAGUUGAAAAAAUGAGGAUUCUGAGAGGACGAAUGGCAUAACACGAAAUCCAGGCGGCAACAACCGUAAGAGUUGCUAAUAUUACAUCCUGAAUACUCGUAAAUAUUGCAGCUUUUUGAAAUGUGAAUACUUUUGAAUAUUCGGAGUCGGAGAAGUAAGUUAUCAAGACGCCCACUAUAGCCAAGUCUACCAGUUUGCGGCUAGGCUUAUCAACAAACCUGGAAUCAAAAUAAUCAUUAGAAAAAAUGUUCGUGCUCACUAAAAAAAGCAUACACGUGACGACUGCAAGAACAAUGUGAGAGAACUAUUGUCAUGUUUUUAUAAUUUAGCCCAACCUAAUCAAAGAUCUUAAGUACACCUCUCUUAACUGAAAUUAUUUUAGGGGAUUAUCUAUUUAGGAAUCUCAAAUUUCAUGAGCUCUUAAUACACACACUGUAGUGUUUUUGAGUGACAGAUUAUUGUACAAUCAACUCGAAACACUUGCCAAGAUCGCAAAUCAAACAACCAAGAUGUAACAAGAACCAACCCAGAACAAAUCACAGAGAACUAGGACUAUAAGAACUUAGCAGUAAAACAAGGAAAUUAACGUGGUUCAGCUAGCUUCCACUAGCUUACAUCCACGGGAAAACCAGGACCAAGUUUAUUGAUUUAUCAACCACAAUUACAGAGAAUCUCAAGAGCUGAUUACAGAGCUUUUCCAAGAAGCUUUCUCCUAAAACUUCUCUACCCACAUUAGCUCUCACACAUACGCUCCUGUUGCAACUAGAACCAGCUGUUUAUAACAGCUUCUUCAACGAACCAGGAUGAGCCCAGAAACUCACAUGAUUGGCAUUCGUGAUAAUAGACUCAUAACGAUCUUUCAAGGGAUGGCAAAACCCCGGGCCGGGUCCGGGUAUUGCAAUGACCGGACCCUGCCCGUGUAUUGCAAUGACCGGACCCUGCCCGGAUGCAACCGGUCCGGGUCCGGGCCGGGUUUUAAUCCGGGUAUCCAAAUUUUAUAUUUUUUUAAUAUUAUAUGUUUAUAUAUUUUAUAUUUUUUUGGUAAUUUUAUAAGUUUUAAAUUUAUUUCAAUAAAAUUUGACAUGAAAAUAUAAACUUUAAGUGUUUAAAACUUUAUAUAUGUAUAAUAAAUGAGUCAAAUAAAUAUAAAUAUUUAAAAUAAUAUAUAUUUUAUAAUUUUUUUUAAUAAAAUCCGGGUUCCGGGUUUAUCAAGUGAUGCCCAAGACCGACCCAGCUUCAUACCCGGGCCGGAUAAUACCCGGCCCACAACGCCCUAGUAUGGUCCGGGUCCGGACCGAGCGGGUAUUUUUACCACCUCUAGAUCUUUGAAAACAACUUAUUCGAGCACGUGAUUCUCUCGUCCAUUACUUAAACCAAAACGACAUUCAGACAGGUCGUUCCAGUAAUGAGAGAAUGCUGCUCUUCAAAACGCUCUGAUUUGCUUCACAACACAACACACACACAUACGUACAUACAUCAUCAUGUUGUUAAAGUAAUGAUGUUAGUAAAAUACAAAAAGAAUAUAGUUUUAAAUACAUUGGAGAUUCUAUCUUUUUUGUACUUUACUAACAUCGUGAUUAACAAAAUGAGGAUACCUUUAUUAAAGAAUGAUUAUAUAUAGAUAGUUUUUUUUUUUUCUCGUGAGCGUUCUCACAUAUUUUUUUAUGCAUACACACUAUUAAAUUGUAUGGUUUAAUAAAAUUAGUAUAGACAAUUAAACUACAUGAUUUUGUAGUGUAUUAAAAAUUAAUUCUAUUAAACCAUACAAUUUAAUAAUGUGUCUGUAUUAAAAAAAAACCAUAUAUAUGUAUACAGGUUUAUAUUCUAAAUAAAUACAUUUUUAAAAGAUACGAAUACCUAAGGCCCCACGUGCAAAAUUACCUGACAUAAAUGCAGCAGCCUUACAAAAGUAGACGUAAUAUCGUACCCAAGUCAUGAACCUGCUUUGAAUCUUCAACAACCGAGAAAAUGGAAACAUUGUAGUUUCUGAAACUGCUUCUUUUAUCAGCAAAUACUUCUACUUGUGACUUGUGAAUCCGGAGACAAUGAAGAUUUUGUAAUUAUACCAAAGUCUUCGCUAGUCUUCUAAAAAGGUAGUUUAUUCAAAUUAAAAAAUAAUAAGUCGCACUUCAAGACCACCUAUUGGUCACAUAAGUCUUUUUUUUCUUAUUUUUAGGGUUCUAAAAAGAUAGUUUAUUCAAAUUAAAAAAUAAUAAGUCGCACUUCAAGACCACCUAUUGGUCACAUAAGUCUUUUUUUUUCUUCUUGUUUUUAGUCUUCUAAAAAGUUAGUUUAUUCAAAUUAAAAAAUAAUAAGUCGCACUUCAAGACCACCUAUUGGUCACAUAAGUCUUUUUUUUUUCUUGUAACUAAAGGAUCCAGCUACGGUGCAACAGGUGCACCGUGCCCCUCUUUUUCCUUUUUUGACAGCACCCCUUACUUUCUUCUGUAUUUACAGUUUAUUAAAGUAAUUUCUUUUUCCUCUUUCUUUCACCCCUCAUCUUUACAAUCUUCAAUUUUUUUCCAUUUUGAAUUAAACCUAUAAUCAACCAAUUGCAAGCAAUAAGAAAGAAGUUGACAAGCUAUUUCUUUAUCACCUUAGGAUUCAUUUGCUCUAUAAUACAUAAGUAAUAAUGAAUUGAAGUUUUUAUAUAAAAAAAUCACAUAGAUGUAAUUUUUUUACACACACUAUUUAUCAUCUACAAUGAUUUUUUUGUCUUUUAUUAUAUAUAUUCUUCCCCUUUCUCCUCCGUAUGUCUUUCCAUUUUCUCUUUGAAUAAUCUAACCUAAGGCUUUCUAAUAAUUGGUUUAUUGUUAUUAUUUUUAUAAGUAAACCUUCUCUUUAUUAUGUCAAUAAGUUUAUUUUUUCAAGAAAAAAAAUUCGUAAAUGACCAAAAGUGAGAGCAUUAAUAAAAAUUCAAAACCUAUCUUAAUUUUUGUUGUCUUUGUUGAUGCAUCUCGCAUGUUUGAUCUAUUAAUUAUAACUUGUGAGAGUAAAUACUGUAAUACAAUGAUAAUAAAUUGAUGAUUAGUAAUUCUUACUAAGAGUAUUCAGAGAGAAAGAAGUUCGUGUAAAAUUUUAUAAACUUUGACUUUUCCAAAUUUUCACUAAACAAUAGGGAUUGCAUUAUUAAUAACUAAAUAAACACAUCCAUAACCUUGAAACUACAUUUGUGUUAGAUCCAACGGUGACAGCACAAAAAGACAAAAAGAGGGGUAUGGUGCACCCCUUGCACUGUAGCUGAAUCCUUUAGUUACAAAAUAAUGACUUACUGUACAGCUCAAUAAUUUUAGGUGGUAUGAAACACGUAUGAUGAGACGGUCAUAAUUACACUGUACCAUGAAUGAUCCUCAUUGAGUAUAUAAUCCCUUUCUUUUUUCAAACAAGAUUUAUGCUUUAAUUUUGGGAGGUUUGCUAAGUUCUUUCUUUUUGUAAUGGUUACGGAGACUGACAAUUUUCUAUUGAAGUUAUUUAUACAUGUAUUUCUUUUUCAGCAUGUAAUACAUUUAGGAAAUGAGUAAUGAUUAAGUACAAACACUUUUAGAUAAACAAUGUUGUACGAACUUAUGUGAUAUCUUUUUAGAAAAAAGGAUCUGAACAUCCUUAAGAUUUUAAAAAAUGGUCAUAUAUACUUUGAGUUUUCAAUAAGGAAUAUCAAGACACUUUUUGACUAUAGUAUCCUUAAUAGAUAAUAACAAAAAAUAUUGACUUUAAACAUUUUAAUAAAUAUAAAUAAAAUUUAAAUAGUUUGAUAUGUCUAGUAGACUAAUAAUAUUAGAACGUUUCUUAAUAUAUAAAUAAUUUUUAAAAGAUAAAUUAGUAUAUUUAUUUUAAUAAUAUAUUUUUACUUAUUAUAAAAAUUGUAAAUAAAUCUUUAGGUUAGAUAGAUUUUAAAUUUAAUAAAAUACAUGUCAUGUACUAAUAAUAUUAAAACUAUUUUAUAUAAUAUUGAAAAUAAUUUAAAUUUUAAAUUUUAAUAUUAUGUUUCGAUUUAUUUUGAAAUUUAGUUUAAUAUAAUUUAAUGUUGUAAAGUAUUAAAAUAUUUUAAAAAUAUUGAAAUUAUUUUAAAAUGUAUAUAUUGUUACAUUUAUUUUAAUAUUAUACUUCUAUUUAUUAUAAAUAUUAAAAAUAAUAUUUUAAUUAAAAGGGAGUUUUGGUGUCUCUUACUUAAAAAAUGGAGUGUACGUAAUUGUUUUUUCAAAUUUUCAAGGGUUUACAUGUCAUUUUUCUUACUUUUUUAUAAUCAGUUGAAUAAAAAAAAGUCAUCUGGCCACAUAAAUUAUUUCUAAUUUAUAUUUUCAAUUAACAAAUCAUAAUGUAUCAUAUCUAUUUGUAUAAGCAUUUAUGAACAUAAAAAAUUAAGUUUAGGCACUAGUCGGGUUGGAAAUCAACCCAUCCAACCCAUGUAUAGUGCUAGUUGGGUGAGUUGGACUUAUCUCGAAGACCCAUUUUCUGUCUUUGAAAUGUCAAUAUGAAAUUAAAAUAAUUAAAAAAUAAUUUAAUUGAAACAACUAAAAAUAGAAUACAAAAUUACAAAUAAUAACUAUCCCUCAAACUUCAUUGUUAAUAAAAAUAAUUAUUUGUAUAGGAUCCUAAUUACACCAUAAAAAGUAAUAGGAUGAAUUCAAGAGUUGGGUUUGAAAAUUACAAAUAAUAACUAUUCCUCAAACUUCAUUGUUAAUAAAAAUAAUUAUUUGUAUAGGAUCCUAAUUACACCAUAAAAAGUAAUAGGAUGAAUUCAAGAGUUGGGUUUGAAAAUUUUCAACACCUAGUAAAUAUAGUGCAUCUUCUCCACCCCUAUGAAAUUAGGGGUUGGCUUUCUACUUGAUUUUAAGUAGAGAAAAUGAUCAAAACUACCUUAUUGUUUUUUCAAACUAUAGGGUGAAUUUAAGAGUUGGGUUUGAAAGAUGCAAUAUGUUCAUAUUUAUAUAUAUGAACAUAUUGCAUCUUCACUAUCUUAUCCCCAGAAUUUUUGCACCAAAUCAUGGUAAAAGAAUAAAAAUUCGCAACUCGAAUCAACAAAGUAUUAUCACUAAGUUAUUCUGCAAGCCGCCAAAUUGGAAAAUGUCCCAAAUAAUUAAUUAACCGCAGCGACUUGACAGCUUAACUUUUUCCAACGCUGAGAGUCCUUCAUUCUUCCCUAUUGAGGAUUGGUUAUUGUAAACGUCUGUUGGAGUAACAUGGGGAUAGUGCGGAUGAUUUUUUUCGGAUAGCAACUAUUUAAUUGGACCAUAUUGUCUCGAGCAACUGUUAUUCAUAAAAAAAAACUUCCAAUUGAAAUCGUUGAGCCUCGCCUUCUUGAAAACACUCUGUGAUAGGCACUCUUGAACGCGACACUGGUAAUCAGCUGCAUAAACAUAUAAAAGAACACUGUAAUUAAGCUAUACGAUGGAUUCAUAAUAGUCAAAGUUGUGCAUAACAUCUACUUGCCUGCAUCAUGUAGCCUAAGUUUACAACUAGAGCCCCGGAAACUGGGGUAAUAUCAAACCAUUGAUCUUCACAAAAGACUUGGAAGCCACAAUUCGAUCUUCUAUGAGCAUAGUGACAAAUCCAGGGUCAGAACGUAUUGUUACGCCAAUUGUCAAUUUCGGAUGAGGGCUUUCUGGGUAGUGACUAUUCCUAAUAGUUAUUUCCUCUACAGAACCUGUGUCUUUCAGGUAACUGGAGCCAAACCCUAAAGUUUCAGACAAAAGUUCAAACAGAGUGAAUUAGCAAUUGGCGUUGUUGGAGAAAAAUCAGUUUUUAAAUUUAAAAAAAAAACUUUUUAGGGCCGAUCUCAUACAAUAUAUAAGAAUUCGUAAUCUAGAAAUCGUAUCUUGAAAAUCUGAGAAAAUGAACAAUCUUUGCUUUUUCCACUGAAGUGAAACUAAGCUCCCAGAUCACGAUCCGUCACCACCACGCCUGUUAGAUCAUAGUCUGUCACCACCACGCUUGUUAGAUCACGAACUAUCACCAAUGAUCUUCCAGAUUAUGACUCAGGUUUGAUCUGCAUUUGAUGUGUGAGUGCCUUUAUCACUACCAAUAGCAACUAGUAGGAGAAAAUUUUUCUCUCAAGAUUAGAGAGAAAAAUUCUUUUUCUCUGAUCUGUAUAAUGUGGUCUUAUAUCGUUUCAAGAGAAAAUAAGCCAUUUUAUAUCUUAUCUAGUGGAAACCCUAAGCUCUAUAUUUUCUAUUUUUUAAUUCUAUUAACACAAGACCCCUUACACAUAAGCAUAUUACAUGGAGCCUCCCACUAAAUAAUAUAUUUAAACUUUUAACCCAAAUAACUAGUUAUCUUACUUAUUAAUUUAGUAGCAGCGCAGUCAAUUAAAUGAGCUAACCCAGGGAUCAUUUGGGAACAUACAAUAGUGGCUACAAUAAUUAGGCAUGUAAUCAAACUAGCUCAAUUAAUUAAUUUCAAAUCUACUCCACUAAAAGAUUGGAACUGACCUCCAUAAUUGUAUGCUCGAAUAAUAAUUCAUCCCAAGCCACAUUGAUUUCUUUACUGCACAAUCCUUUAUACCACAUCAUUAAUUAAAUCGAUAUCUCAACUGUCCAAUCAAUUUAAUUACAUCUUGUUCCUCGAUUCUUACUGGUUUUCUCUAAUGAUCAUUUCAACAUACUAAAUAUGUCGACACACUCUGACAAAAGAAUUCUAUGAUCAAGUGCCGAAAACUCAUCAAGAGAUGUGUUGUACAAAUUCUAUAUUGUCAAUCUAUAACUCUAAUACUCAUAAUUGCUCUCAUCAAGAUACCGGGUAAUCUUGACUACAAGUAUGUGUCGUGCCCAUUGGUAAUUCAAAUGAAAUAACAAUUACAAUCAUGAAAUCAUAAUUAACUCAAGAUUAAGAUUACAGUAAAAUCAAUGUCUAUGAGAUUUAAUAAGUCUGACAGUAAUUACAAAGUUAAUUAAAUCUCAUAUGUGAUCAUGUUCAAUGUAGUCUUACUACAUCAAUAAAUUCAUACAUGAUUAAGACAAAUUAUUCAAUGAAUUCAUUACAGUCUAUACCUAAAUAAAGUGCCCAACUUUAUUUAUCAACUGCGAACUAAAUUUAUUUAAUCAUAAGAUAACUUGUAUUUAUGUCUUCUGUGAAUUCACAUGUUGAUUCUUGUCCAAAUUUAUUGAACUCGCAAGUGCACGAAUAUAUUGUAGAAUAGAUUAAUGGUGACGAAUGUCGAUUCCACGAGGAAGUGGAUUUUAAUUAUGUGUAGAAUUAAUUUUCUAUGAGGGUGGUUGGAUUUGUGGUGAAAAUGAUUUGGAAUAUUCUAAACAUUAAAUUAGAAUGGCAGGAAUAAAUUAAAGCGAAAUAUAUUGAAAUGAAGCACUUAGUUAUUUGGAUUUGCAUUAACAUGCACCAUGAGCUAAAUAUUCCUUAGUAAUGUCAAUUAAAUCAUGAGGGGGGUUUCUACUCCUUAUGAACCACACUCUAAUCAAUAUGGUGCUAAGGGCUUAUCGUACCAAAUAAUAAUAACCUUGUAUUAGGGAGUCGGUUAAACCGGUGCGGUAUCAAGACAAGAUUAUUACUAUUUAUUGACGAAAAGUCAAAACAUCAAUAAUAAUUAGAGGGGAAGAGAAAGUAAAUUUACCAAAUAAAGCCCAUGGCACAUGUUGAGACUUCACCAACCCAAGCUUGAAAGAAAAUUAGCUACUCAUAAUUGAACUAAGGGUAAAAUGAGAAUUUAUUAAAUACAUAGAAAAUACAAGAUGGAGAAGGAAUUACAUAAAAUAGAGCUCAAAAAUGAAUUCAGGGAUGCCAAAUUAAAGGGGAGCCCUCCUUUUAAUAGAUACACUAAGUAAAUCAUGGCCAUCAGAUUAAAAACAUUUUGGACGCUCAAGAUUGUGCCACGUCAUCGGUCAAUAGUACGCGGUUUGACCAUGCAGUUUGGUUUUAAAUAAUCCCGUGUAUUAUGCAUGUACCGUACGCACUAUUUUUGAUCCACUAACAUACUGCCACGUCAUUGAUCAACAGUACAUAAGAAUUUUGUCUAAUAAAAUCGUGACAUCUCAUCAGUCAAUGCCACAUCAUCGGUCAAUGCCACGUCAUUGUUCCGUAUAUGUGAACAGUGUCGUGAAUAGUAACACAGUACCGUAUCUGUGAAUAGUACCGUACAUGUGAACAGUGCCAUUUUCCUUUUAAACUCCUCCUAAGGUUUUCAACUGUCCUAAUCUCAAAAGUGAUGUCCGUUUUGCUGUAUGAUCUCUCGUUCAUUGUGAAAUGACCAUGAUGCCCCUAAGAUACAUAAAAUACUUAAUUAUAAUACAACACACAUAAUUAAAUCACAAGAAACUUAAAUACAUAAAAGUAGGAAUGUUAGUGAAACUUGAAGUGUAAAAUGACAAUUUUCUCCUUCAUAAAUAUACACUUUCGAACACUCAACAGUGAUCACAUAAAUACAUAUAAUAUGAUUAAAUGGACUUUAAUCAAAAUAUUAAUACAAUUAAGAUAUUUGAAUAAAAUACCUCAUUUAUUUUAUUAAUCAGAAAAAUUAUUUAUUAUAAUUAAAUAAACACAUAUGCUUUUAAAGAGCAUAUUUUCCCAACAGGCGUAUCUCAUAAAGCCAACUUCGGUGGUUGGGGUAUCCUGCUGUGCAACGCUGUAUCUCUUAUAGCCAACUUUUACGACUUGGACAAUUUGUAUUUUACCGAUUGUCCAUUAAAUUAAUUUGUUUUUGCUGAAAAUGAAUAUUAAAAAAAGAUUAAAAUAAAUAAAAUUAUAAAUAAUUAAAAUCACUGAUUGUCCCAGACCACCAAUAAAACCUCUAAAACUAAAAUUAUAAGCUCCUCUGUAAGAUCCACCAUUAUAUUUCUGAUUACCACUAGCAUUCUUUCAAGGAUUAAAAUGGUUUUGAGUUACAUUAGCUAACAAGUUAUGUGUGACAUCACUAGCAAUUUUACCUCUUGUCUGUUCAACUCUAUUCUCCUGAUUUAGCAGUAAAGAAUAAAAUUCAUCAAGACUGAUCUUAUCAACUCCAGCUAACACACUAAUAACUAAAGAUUCAUAAUCAAAUGAAUCUAGUCUAGUCAAAAUAUAUUGAACAAAAUCACUUAACUCAACAGAUUUUCUAGCUAAAGCCAGUCUGUCAGACAAUCUCUUCAUUUUAACAAAGUAAUCAAUCAUAGACAUUGAUCUUUUUUUGAGUGUUUGAAUAUGCAUCUUAAAGGCAUUAUUCUAGCUUGAGAUUGUAAAGUAAACAUACUUGUGAGUGUAUCCAAAAGCUCUUUAGCAAUGGAGCAAUGAAUGAUUGGAGCGAGUAGAUUUUGCUGAAUAGAUGACAACAUCCAACUCAAAACUAAUUGAUCUGUCUUCAUCCAGGCUGUGUAUGCUGGAUUGACCUUUCGAUUUUUAGUACUAGUUGAGGACCAACUUCAGUGCUAGCUGGUGUGAGAAAUUACUCCGGACGAGUUUGAUCACCAUUAAUGAAAUUAUCCAGAUCGUUUCCUUUGAUCGAUGUUAAAACCUGAGUUUGCCAGACAAUGAAAUUAUUAUGAUCUAGCUUAACAGGAUUGAUAAAACUAUAGGAUCCAGAAAAUUGAUUAGAACUCACCAUUGUAGGCUCUGAUAUCAUGAUAGAAUUUGUAAUAUAUAUGUUUGGAAAGCAAGAAAAUUAAGGAGAAAAAGAUAGAAAGAAAAGAAGAAGAAUUUAGAAUAUGUUAAUUGUUCAGCACAUUACAAAUGUGAUUAUAGCCUUUGUAUUUAUAUUGAGUGAAAUGCUUAACUAUAAUUUGUUAUAACUGGAAUACGUGCUAAACAGUUCGUUAGCCAGAAGGCUGAGAUGGCUAACUAAUUAUUCCACGUCAGCAAGAGCACUCGUGUAUGGUCCUCAUCCUUACUGUAAUUAUCAUACUCUGUAACACUUCUUCUACAUCUUCUUGCUCUUCAGGACCAAGUGUACUUCGUGGGUCUAUAAUUGCUGCUUUGUCUAUCUAUUUGCAAUUCAAAGAAUUAAUUUAUUGGUCAUUUUUUUAGGAAAAAAGAUAACGAAACAUAGUUGUUUGGUAAAAUAGUCAUGUGAACUCUUUCUUCAAAACAUAUAUAAAAACAAACCUUGGAGAUCAGUAUUGUCUAUGUGAUAAUUUCUAAAAAUAAGAGGUUUAACUGACAAUUUUUUCAAACCAUGGGAUGUUGGUAUAUACUCUUUAAGUAAGUACCUUAGUAAUUUGAUUCUAGUGACAAGGGUAAUUCAUUUUCAUCAUCAUUACAGGAGAACUGAUCUGCAAAAGAAGGAUAAUUGAGAUGCCUUUUCUUCAGGGCAGCUUUAAAAAGACAGAUUAUAGCAAAACCGUGAAUAAGAGGUAAUUGUUUACUAUGAUAAAAGGGAAUACCCAACAGCAACAAGACCAAACUGCUCCCAUAACCAAUAUUGUGAACCUCAAAGUCCUCCGUCAUGUUUCCAGAUUAUUUGCAGGGAAUGUUACAACCACAUUACAACACCAGGCAAGCUGCAGCUAUACUUCUUUUUGAGCCUUUACUUAUUUCUCAUUUGGAUUUUUUGUUCUCCCUUCAUCACCAUGUGCUCUUAAUUGAUCGACAAGACAUGGUCCUAAAAGAGGCCCCAUUCCAAAGUCACCCACUGCUAACAAGAUCAUUCCUAUUACGUUGAGCAGUUCAAAUUUAGUUUCUAAGAAUUUACUGGACGCUGUAUAGUACAAUAGCCUUAAUGCCUCCAACAACAAUAGUCGGAACUAAUUGUAUGGCAUAACAUUAUGAUCCUAAAUAUGCUUCUUAAUCAUUACUAUAGUUAGGAGCGGAACAAAAUUGAGAUUUAGGGGGCCAAGUGUAAUUAAGGUAAUUAUUUCAGGAUUAGAGAGUAUUAGUUAUUUUCUGGGGUUAGGGGAUGGGGUUCACGUUUAUGAAACCACCAUAUAAAGAAAAACAACUAGUUUGAAAGUUGAAAUUACAAAUUUAUAUAGUGUGAGAUUAUUUCAACCUACUAAAAUAUUUGUUAUUUUAAAGGCUAAUGAGCUUGCGGCUUUGAAAAGGUUGGAAUGUUAUUUGGUUGGAGAGGGACUCGGUUUCAACUUUAGCUUGUCUUACGAGUACCAAAUUCAAGCCGCCGUAGCAUCUGCAUAUCAUAUAAUUGAAUUGUUUGAGAUUUAUUCGUGGAAUACACUUUGCUAGUUUACACAUCUAGAGAGAGGGGAUUCAGUGGCUGAUAGUCUUGCAAAUUUGGAGUUAAAUCUUAAUGCUCAUAAUUGGUGGGAUAAUCCUCCUAUUUCAAUUCGUCAGAGUUUGCAUGAGUGUAUGCUUGGGAUAUCCCUAAAUAUCAUUUCAAAUGAGUGUUUUUGCAUUCUUUCUUCUCCUUCUUUCCUUAAUAAAAUUGAGUAUCAUAAAAACAAAAACUACCAGAAUGCUUAAUAAAUGUAUUUAUUCAAUAAAUUCAUUUAAAAAUUUAAAUUAUUUUAUUUUAUUUUACCAACCAAUUUUUAGUAUUCAAUAUGUCCUUAUUUGAAAUUCACAUAAUUCUUUCAUCUUUCUCUUUCAAGACUUUUAGGCUUUUAAGGCUCUUUUACAUUCGUGUCUCCCUAAUAUUCUAUUUUUCACUAUUUCAUAAGCACAUCUUUCUUUAAAAUUGUGGGCAUACUAUAUAAUUUACGUAUGUACGUAAAUUAUAAAUAAAUAGAUUUUUAAACGAUAUGAUUACCUAAGGUGCCAUAAGCAAAAUGUUACCUGAGGUAAAUGCGGCAGCCCUACAAAAACAGAGGUGAUGUCUUACCCGUCUUUUGAACCAAUCCUGAAGCUCCUGAGAACAUGGAAACGCUGUGGCUUCAGAAAUUGCUUAUUUUAUUUGCAAAUAUUUCCACCUGUGAAUCCUGAUUCCUGAUACCGUGGAAAUUUGUGUGGGCUCGAUAUACCACCUUAUUACGUCAAGGUAGUGCAUUCGAACAAUAAAAGUUUAUUAUUUUGAUAGGUUUAGUAGGUUUAACGUGGGACCCCACUUAUUUAAUUAAAAAAUAAUAGAUAUAAAAAGUAAUAGUACUACUUCAUCACCGACUGAAUUAAAAAAUAAUGAAUCUUACUUCAAUUGUCUUUGAGACUUAACUAUCGUGGACAGACCGUGGAAGUCUACCUCCUUAUUUUUAAGUACAAAUUAAAGAAUGAAUUGUACUUACUAACAAGCCAAAAUCAUUUAUUGCACAGCUAAAUAUAUUUUAGAUGGUAUAAAUGACCAGCAAUAUAUUGCCAGUUGGGUGCACAUACAAGAUCAUAUUUGGCUUAAGUAUUAUAAAUUAGGAUAAUGCCUAAGAUUUAAACCUAAGUUCGGAGAAUGUCUAAUCACAAAACACAUUUUUUUUUUUUUUGAGGAGAACUAUUGCUUUUUAACUCUCUCAAAUAUUCGAGGGAUGCCAACUCCCCUUUUGAAAAAAAAGACUGUCUUCGCUCAAGCUCUGAAGCUCCAAGAAAGAAAAUUUAAAUUAAACCCCCUACAAUAGGUCUGCAGGGACUCGAACUACUUCGAGCACUUGUGAGAGAGUGGCUCUAGCCACUUAGGCCAAGCCCUAGUGGUUCACAAAACACAAUUAUAAACACUAUAAAAUCUAAAAUUGAAAGGAGAAUAAAAGAUUCUACACAUUAAAGUCCUAUGAAAAACUAUAAAAAUUUUAAGGGACUAGCCUACCCGUCUUAGUUAUUAUAAAUAAAAACUACCUUCUAAUCAAAAGAAAAAUCCAGUACAGUGCCUGCAACAACGACAUACACUACCACUAGUACCACUAAACUAUUACCAACGUCACAAAACAACUCAAAUAUGAAUAUACAUCUUAAACAAUCACUGUUAUUCUACAAAAAUAGAGUAAAUCAUCGGCGGUUUAAUUAACAUUUAUUAAGGGCUCAAAUAAUAUUUUACAAAGGCUAUAAAGAGAGAAAAUUUUCCAUUGGGGGACUUUAAUCACUUGAGUCCCUUUAGGGCUUGAGAGUAAAACAAACAGCCAAGACAAUAUAUAAUAACAAAAUGAAUGAUUAGAAGAGUCUAUGAAUAAUAAAGCCUCGUAAGCAUUGUGGAAAAUUUACUGGGAUAUUUAUCCAUUUUCAUUGGCAACAGGUCAAUAAUACAACUGGCAACUUCACUCACAAAAUGCGAAAAUCCAAUUCAAUAACCAGUUAACCACAAAGUAAUGGACUUGCAUGCCACAUUUCAAGUAUAUGAAGCAUAUAUAUUAGAAAAGUUGACAAAACCCAAAUUAUCACUUAAUUAAUCGGCAUUUAACCCCUCUCAAACUACAAGGGGGGAAAAAAGAACUUACAAAUGUGCAUGUGAAGAUUGUUUAUCUGGGCUCAUUUUGUCAAAGUCAUCUUCGUCAAUUCGAUCUGUUUUGAUUUUGGGCUUUCUAAUUAUAUAGCCAGUUUGAGCUUCUAACAUCCCUUUAAAAUUCUUGUGAAGUCCUACUGUUGCAUUUGUAACACUUGCUUUUAAGAAAUUAUUUAAAAAGACAGAAUAAUAUGAUAGAGUUAAUUAAAAUUUAACAUACUUUUUUAAAAUAAAAAAUCUAUCAUUAGGUAAUUUAUUUCUUCAUUGUCUCAAAAUUAUUUGAGUUUGCAUAAGAAAUUUAUUAUAUCAUAAAUUAGGAUUGGUGAUGAUACAGCCACAAACUCUUGUACAAACUUAUCUUGUACAAAUUGAUUUGACAUUAAUUCAUUGGUUGAAUGAAAACAUAAAAUAAUAAAAAUAAAUAAUGUGCGUCAAGAAAUAUUUAAUUCAACCAAUUUUAUCAUACCACAUCAGUUUAUAUAAAAUAAAUUUAUACAAGAGUUUGUGACUAUAUUAUUACUCAUUAGGAUUUAAAGAUGGGAUAGUUCAUAAUUAGCAGGUAUAAAGAUAUUUUAAUCGAGUUAAAUUCAUAAUUGUCCUUCUCUAGCAGUAGAACUAUGUUCACAAAAAAUGCGGAUUUACAAGGAUUUUAAAGGGGUGUGAAAAGCAUUAAUUACUCUUACACGACAUCACCCAAAUAAUCAAUUCAAACGCACUCGGCUAGAUUUGUUCCAAGAUUAGACCUUUUGACACCCCUCAAAAUUCCUCAUAAAACCCCUUGUUAAUAGAAGUUACUUAAAUAAUCAAAGAUAAAUUAAUUCAUUUCUUACUUUAACUAGAAAUCCGAUUAAACAAUUAAAAAAUUUCUAUUAAAUUUUUUUUCACCCAUCCCAUUUCAUAAUUUAUAUUUAUAUUUAUAUUUUAGUUUUUAAUUUUUUAAAAACUUAUAAGAGUUUAGAAUUAUGGAGAUAGAAACUAUAUAAUAAAAAGAAAAUAAUUUAAAUUUUAAGAAAUUUUAGUACUUUAUAAAUAAAACUUAAAAGAAAUAUUCAUUUAGAGUUGGUAAGAUAAUUGAUUUUAAUAUAUGAAUUUGUAUUUUAUAAAUUAAACUGUGAUAUUUUAAAAAAUAAAUUUAAAAGAAUAUUAUAAGAAUUUUAACGAAGUGUUAAAAACUCCACCCUUAUCUCAAAGAGUUAGUAUGCAAAAGUAAAAACAUAAGCAAUACCCGUUAACACCAUUGGACCUUUGACCUGGUGAUAAAGAACCUAUUGGGGGCACAGGUUCAAGUUUUUGUUUUAUUUAUCCAAAUUGAGUGAAAGUAACAUCAUUGAAUCCUAUAUUACAUAACUGCAAAAUCAUAGAACUAAAAAAUUUCGAAUUAAUUCAAACAAAUAAUACAAGGGCAAUCUAGAAAUCAUAUUAUCUUGAACUAUUACUUUAUCAACUUUAAAUGAAUACUGCAACUUAAGUCCAAAAUCAGUACCAAUAAAUGAGACAUGGACAGCCUUAUUAUGCUGCUCUUGUUCUGUUUUCAGCAUAAAAAGCCAAUUCUGCUGUUCUUAAACUGUUUCUCAACAAGAUGGAACAUGAAGUUGUAUUCAAUGACACAUGGACAUUUCAUGAUUAUAAAAAAAUCUAUUUACUUCAGCUAACCUCAAGGAAAUAAUCUAGUAUUGUAGUCAGUGAUGCAUAGAAUAUAUUAAAUGAGAACAUAUUUUUCUAUAACAACGAAAAAGGAAUUGCUAUUAGAGCAGAGUACAUCAAACGGAAAGAUUACUCACAGUGAACACUGGAACUUGUGUGCCUUGCCUUCAAUUCUUUUCAAUUUAGAUUUGUUCAAGAAUGUGCAAUUGGUAUCAGCAACUUUGGGUUGUAAGAAUAGAGACAGCAAACAACUAUCAAAAAAAAAAAAAUGUGGAACUUAGUUUGAAGAAAUAUUGUGGAUCAUAUCAAAUGCCAAAUGUUGGAUAAUCUUUUCCAAAUGUUGGAUAACAAGAAAAGGGAUGCACACAAGACCGCUGACUGAAAACAGAAAUAAUUGGACAAAUAAAGCCCAAACCACAACUCAUCCUAAUCUUUAUGUUACUAAUGGAAGCUAAAAGCACAUAAGUCAUCAACUAUUUACAUUUUCUGAUAGAUACGGAUGCUUAAUACUUUCAUCAUGAUAUCCAGAAACAAUAAAAUUAAGCUAGUACAAAGAUAUCUAAAUGAAGAUGAUAAUAUCAUAGGCAAAAUAUGGUCCAAUGGAUUAGGAAAAUCAAGCUAAGGUCAUUUUUUUAUACUAAAUGCUUAAUUAAAAAGACAUCAUUAUAUGUUUUAUACAUGCACAAAUUGUCAUUUAUUUGAGGCAUGUCUAAUAUUUAGUGGAGUGACAAAUAUACUUGAAAAUUUAUAAAAAUUAUCAAAUAAUAUGUAAGAAAUAUAGUUAUUUUUGUUGUAAUAUUAAUGCAAUAAAUUUUUAUCGUAUCAUAUCGGCAUGUUUAAAGAGGGAAAAAAAAAACUCAGAGACUCAAAAACUCCAAACUUUAAUGUAUAGCUGGCAUUUAUUUGUAGGCUCAAUUGAAGUACAGAAGUCACAAUUCCAAACAACAAACAAGCUAUCAUUACUAAUCCACCAAAUUGGAAAACAUCCUCAAUUAAAUUAACCACCGCGCCUUUCCAGCUUAAGUUUUUCCAACGCUGAUAGUCCUUCUGUUGAGGAUUGGUUAUUGUAAAUAUCUUUUAAAGUAAUUGCAGGAUAGAGCGUAGGAUUUUCUUCGGAUAGCAACUCUUUAAUUGGACCACAUCGUCUCGAGCAACUGUUGUUCAUAAAAAAACUUCCGAUUGAAAUCCUUGAGCCUUCCUUUUUUGACAACACUCUGUGAUAGGCACUUUUGAACUUGUCAUUGGUGAUUAGCUGCAUAAACACACAAUAAAAAAUUCCACUAUAAUUAAGUUACAUGAUGGAUUAAUAAUAGUCAAAUUGAUACAUAACAUGUACCUGCCUGCAUCAUGUAACCUAAGUUUACAACUAGAGCUUCGGGAACAUGGGUAAUUACGAUCUGCAGUUUCCUAAUUUAACUCAUGCAUACGCGAGGCUUUUGUUUACCCUAGUUUUUAGUAUAAAAAGAGGCACGCAUCACAUAAUACGGCGGCAAGGAAUUAUCAUUAGAAAAAUUGGAGAGAAAAAGAAGAAGAAGAUCAUAAUUCAAGGGAACGGCUGCAGCAUCAUUGAAGAAUCCAGCAGAGUUAUUUGGAUUCACUUUUUGCCGUUCUCGACUUAUACCUUUCUUCUUUCUCUAACUGAUCUAAUGUAUUUCAUGAACAAUAUGUUGCUGAUUGUUUAUCUCUUUCAGAAUAUGAACUAAACUUGCUUGUAUUUGAGUGACAAAUAAUCUAAUGGGUUCUUGACUGUUCUUAUGAGUUGCUAUGUCAUGGCUGUAGCAUUUUACUCUAGUAGCUAUUAUUAUAACUGUUAUUUUGGUUGACCACCCAUUUAAUGGUUUAAGUUAAGAUAGGACUGUAAAAGGGCAUGUCUUAGUGGAUAUUAUUAGAGAAAUACUUUAUCUUAAUUUAAGUUUCCUAUAUUAAGUUUAUCUUGAAUCCCAUAAGGACCAUACUUGAAGUUAAGAUUUGUGAUAAACUAGACAUAAGUAUUCACCUUGUAGGGUGGAGAGAAUGGAUGUUCAUAAUGCCAUGCCAUAGGUAAAAUAGCAACUGGUCAUUGCGAAGAUGUUUACGAGUAUGAGACUUCCAAUAUGCGAUAGCUGAGGAUGCAAAUUAAAUUCUGCCCAGUGCUAUAGAAAUUGUUGUAGCAACUGGUGUUAACUUGAUGAAAAGCAGUCAGCCUAUAAAGAGAGUUUGAUCAUUCAACUACCUUAUUCUCAUUUGAUUCUUCGACGCAUUUUAUUUAAUUUGUUUCAUUACUGCAUUGUUUAACUUUAUUAUCUCACAAUUAUCAAUUUCAAUAGUAACCAACUUUACAUUUGUUAAUUUAGGAAUCAAGUUAGAUUACACUAUCGUAAUUGCUGUAGCAUUUCUAGUAACAUCAAUCCCUGUGGAGACGAUCUUGAAUAUUAAUCACGUUAUUACUUGUUGUGUAUACUUGCACAUUAGCAUAAAUAGAAUUUGAUAAAAAAUACCAACAAUGAGAUAGGGGUAAACUUCAGGAUGUGCUGCAGUUUUUAAUUGUUGUGCAGAUUCUUUUGAUUCCUAUCUCUAGUGGAGAACCAGAUGUGAUUUUGUGGGACCUUUCUCCUGAUGGUAGUUUUUCUUUGAAGACAACUUCAAAUAUUGUGCAUUGGACAAUGCCAAGUGAUGAGGCUUUUUUUGUUAUUUGGCAGCGACAUAUCUUUUCUUGGAUAUCUUUUUUUCUCUAGAGGUUGUGACACAAAUUCUUGACCACAGAUGAUGCCUCAUGUUCGGGGGAUUUCUGCAUAGUUUCUUAGUAUCUUUGCAGUUGGGCUUAUGAGACUUCUAGGUAUUUUCUUUCUUGAUUGCCCUCGAUUUGCGCUAUGUUGCUUUUUUGUUCCCUCGUACUUUAUUUCUUAAUUGGUAGUGAUGUGCCCUUUCUUGGAGCCAUAUUCGAGUUCUUCUUCCUUGUUUCAUUUUGUGGCGAGUUUAGAAGGCCUGUAAUGCAUUGAAGUUUGACUCAAUGGCCUUUUUUUUGUUGAUGUUGUUAUUUAUCGGGCAAUGUUGGAUCUUAGGCUUGCCAAUUCUGCCUUUGGUCUUAAACCAUCCCAACUGUGAGGAGUUCUAGGUUCUCGAUUUGCAAAGUGCUUGAGAGUUGUUGUUUCAUCCAGGAGGCUGAUUCUUUUAGUUUUUGGUUGUGGUCACCACCUGGGGUGGUGAAGCUGACUAUUGAUGGUUGCUUUAGGAGUAAUCCUAGGAUGGCUGCUUCAGAUAGUAUUUUACGUGAUGAUUAGGUUGUGGCUUUGGCUGCUUUUGGUUCCUUCCUUGGGUGCUAACUGAUCUUUCAUGCAGAAUUCAUGGCUGUUUUUGAGGGGUUAGAGUUGCUGCUCAGCUCCAUUAUUCUGUGCUUGACGUAGAGUCGGACUCAGCCAUGGUGGCUUCUUGGAUUCUUUUCUAAGGCCUUGUUCAUAUAGACUAUACCUAUUCUUUGCGUCGAGUGUGUAGUUUGACAUUUUCUUCUACUUCAUGGUUAGUCAUGUGCUUCGAAAGGCUACUUCUACUACUGAUUUCUUUGGCCUACACUCUUUAAGUUCAUCGGCGUUUCUUGGGUUCUCAAGAUAUCUCUGCUGGCUUAUCUAAUAAUCUUCGUUUGAAUUGUGGGUAAUUUAACAUAUCAGGCAAUAUAAUUGCUUAUUUUUGUGUUCUAUUUUUUAUCUUGUAUUUUUCACUUUUUCAUUCUUAUGUUCUUGCAAUUGCGGUUUUGAUUUAUAUUCACCUCCUUAUAUAUUUGAUUCAUUCUAUGAUUUAUAUGAAAGAUAGGAGUCCCACCUAAUCCUACCUUUUUGGUGGUUAAAAAAAAAAAGAUUAGGAAUCAAACCUAGGUCAUCAAGGUGAAACAUCAAUCAGGUUGUAAAUUUAACAUAUGAACGUAAAAGCUUAACAAAACAUUUGAAGUUGCUUGACAGCAUAGAAAUACAAGCAAAAAGAGAUGCUAAACAACACAAAAUUUUGAUUGGGUGGGAGUAUUGUUCAUGCUAGCAUAAUAAUGAGGUGCCUGAGAAUACCUAUGACUUUCUUGAUAAAUAAUAUCAUCUAAAAGGUUAAGAAUCACAGAUGAUUGUCCACGUAUGAACAAAUCUGGCUCCAAAUGUGAAAUGUAUUAAGAUUUUCAAACAUUUAAAUUAAUAGUUAAUAAUUUCGGACAAAGGAUACUUGGAGACCCUAAAGUUCAUUGAUUCUAUAUUAAAAGACAACACCGUUACUAAAAUUAUAAAUUAUAACAGUUAAACCUAAACCUACGUCGUUUAGCAAUUUACAAAAGAAAAAAAAUAUAACAAAAGCCAAUUGUUGGAGUAGCAACAUGCCAAAGAGAAAACCUCAAGCCAUGUAAUAUCCUGUAUCAACUAAAAAGGAACAAACCACCACCCUCAAGGCCGUCGCUGCACUAACGCUGGGCCCGAUUUGAAUAGUUAGAAGUUGUAACAUUAUUUAGGGAUUGAGGGUAAAAUUUUGGACUUUGAUUUAAUAAAAUUGAUUUAUAUGAGUCCCAAUAGAAAUAUAAUAAUAAAUAUAUCAAUACAAUUAUAAUAUGUUUAAAAGAAAAAAUUUAUUUUCACACAACAAAAAACACAACCUUUGGAUGUGGGAUGUGUCUAAAAAAUAAUAGGGUGGAAAUAUUAUCACCCUCAAAUUAGAUAUAUAAAUGUUUAAUGUUUUACUCUCAUAAUUUUCUAUUUACUUUUUUGAAUAUUGUUAAGAGAAAGAUAGAAGUUAAUAUAUAGACAAAUCGAGUCCCUUAUUUUAUUAUUCAUAUCCAUAAAAAGUAACCACUAUGCUAGUCCCCCGAACUUAGCAUAAGACGGUAAUUUAAAAAAAGAAAAAAAAAAGAACGUUUCUAGACACCAAAACGAAAGCAAAACAAACACAAAGCGAGACAUACAAACAAAUUUUAUGCUACUGCAUUCAAGCAGAAGCCAUCAACUGUUCACGACGAAGUUUGAGAGCAACCAAUAGUUCAUCCCGAUUAGGAAGAUUUUCUUCAAUCACAGGGACUUGCUUGAAAGUUUCAAUCCAGGCAUGCAAGUGAGGGAAUUUGUGUGAUUCAAAUAGUUUAGCGCCCACUAUAUCUUCAAUGACUUGCAACCAAUAAACAAUUGAACCAAACGCUAGGUCCACUAAGCCAAUAUUGUCUCCAUUGAAAAAUUUCUUCUCUCCCAAGCCAUGCUCUUCAACUGUUUGUAGCAUUUCCAAGGCUUCCUUCAUUGUGUUUUGUAGUUCUUGUCCAGUGCUACGAAACAUUUUCCAAACAGCAACACC